Molecule: long non-coding RNA, 53204 nt
Filed under: Citrus maxima (pomelo)
Lineage: Eukaryota; Viridiplantae; Streptophyta; Magnoliopsida; Sapindales; Rutaceae
Description: long non-coding RNA (CMAX_LNC001105)
Rfam family: tRNA (bases 11373-11445)
Source: RNAcentral
UAUGUACAUGUUUGAUAGUAAAGAUAGGUUAAGUUGAUAAGGUGGACUGAUCAGACUGCUGUUAGUAGAGGAAAAACUGAGGAAAAAUGUAUUUGUACCUAGGAAGAAAGCCCCAAAGAGAAUGGCCCAGAAGAUGGGGUGGGCAUGAUGUUGUCAGGUUUGGUCCUGUUUGUCUUUUCCCUCUUUGCAAGUCUUUCAAUUUCUCUAUUUUGAUGGUCUGUGGUGACUGACUUCAAAUUGCAGACAAUUGUUGUCACUUGCUGUUUGUGCAAAGUAAUGUUAUUGCAAUUCCCUCCUCUUGGAAAUGCUUGCUUGCCCCCUAUUUGUUUCAUUCCAAGUUCUUUGCAUAUUUCACUUGUUGGAUGUGAUAAGGUUGGUGAAUCUUCAACAUUUGUACGUCUCUAGAACUGAUGUUGAAUUAUUGCGGUAGUUGACGAUCCUACCAGAUUGUUCCAUCUUGAAUUCUGAAAAUACAAUGGUAGAAUGAAAAUUGUAGCCGAUUUUUGGCGGGGUGCCCUUGAAACGCUCAACUGCUAACAUGUCUCCGCAUAAAUUACGCUGAAGAAUUGUUUUCGAUGUGGGGGAUAACCAAAGAAAAAAUUUCAUGUAGUUGUCAGGUCACAACUUAAUAUUUCGUUUCGUGCUUUCUUCCUAGUUUCUUAUUUAAUACUAAAAUAUCAGCUGAGUGCCAUUAUUGCGCAUUUGUUAAAAGAAGCCACCCAAAAACAUAGCCAUUCUCGAUGCUUUUUUAUCGUUUCCUCUUUCCCUCUUCCUUUUACUUUUUGAAUAAUUGAAUGUCGGCAUGACAUUGAUUGAACUUGUCCUAGUUGCCGAGUGCGAGAGUCAAAACAAUCAUCCAAUGUAACUGUACUACGGUCAUAUUUAGAAUCAAAGUUGCACAACGGAAGUUUUUUAAAUUGUACUACUGAAGCAUUUAGUAAUGGUAAAUAAUUAUUGGUUCAGCUACCUUGGCUCCAAGGGAGGGUAGCCUGUAGAGCCGUUGGAUGUAUCCUAUCAUAAUUAUUUCAUUUUUAAGUACAUAUAUCCAACGGUUCUAGUGACUGCUCUAUCUUAGAGUUGGUCGAAAGUAACCAUUGUAAUAAUUAUUGUAAUUUAAAAAUUAUAUUGAUAUAAUUUUUAUUUACAUAAUAAAAAAUUUAUUUUUAUUUUGAUAAUUUUAUUAAAAUUAUUAUGUAAAAUUAUAUUUUAAAAUUAUAUAUUUUUAUAAUAAUUAUAUCUUUUAAGCUACAUUACGGGAAUCCAAAACAGGACAUAUAUUUAACAGCAAAAGGACAAGUGCAUGAAAUUAAAAGUUGCUGCCAAAUUUUUAUUGUACAUAUUUUAAUGUUUUGAUCAUUCGUUGUGUCCAGGCAGCCAAAACUGGCCCAUCUAUUUGCGGCGGUAUACCGCGGGCAGACUUCUGAGAAACCCGAACCGUUGUUUUAAAAAACCAAAAAUGCACGUAACCCUAAUACGAUGUCGUUUCUUUCACACCCCAUAAAAUAUGCAAUCAAACAAAUAUAGAGUAAGGGGUAUCUGAACAGUGAGAUCGAGGUCAAUGGUCAAAGUGGUAAGAAAUAUCAACGGCGCUUGCACUACCCUCUUUAUUAUCAAAGUGAGAAAAAGAACAUGUCCGACAAGUCGACAAUCGCUGUCACUUUACGAAUCUCAAGAACGCUUCCCGCUCAUGGAGCCUUUUUUUCCUGGUCUUGACCUCGAAAAAUCAUUUUUAAAUAAAUUUGGUUUUACGACAGAUUGCGACUUCCAUAUUCAAUUUUCUGCACUGGGUCUCUCCCACUAAAAGAAAAAAAAAAAGCAACCACCUCCUUUUGCUUUACUGUUCGUUCACUUUCUGGUUUCCAGUCCAAGUCAAUGGGAAAUAAUCGAAUGGCGGUGUCUUUCUUCUUGUUGCUUUUAAUUUUAAUUUUCGCUUUGUUUUGGGAAGACACCAAAGUGAAAGUAUUAGCCUCUGACAGUCUCCUAUCUCCCAAGGGCGUUAAUUAUGAAGGUGAGGUAACUGUGUAUAUGUCACUGCUGCUUUUUGGGUUCUGUCUUUUUGGGUUGCCUUAAAUUAUGGGUUCUGUCUUCUGUUGAGGAGCAGUUGCUGCUUUGAUGGCUCUGAAGAUCAAAAUGAGAGAUGAUUUGCAUGUGAUGGACGGCUGGGAUAUUAACUCUGUGGAUCCUUGUACUUGGAAUAUGGUCGCUUGCUCUGCUGAAGGUUUCGUUGUUUCUCUGUAAGCCUAACAACAAUGACAAUGUACCAUUUGUUUCUUUAUUUGUUCACUAUUAGUAGUGCGGCGAAUGUAUGUUCCGUUUCUUUAGGUCGUCUGUAAUAUUUAUUCUUUUUUUUCCCGUUUAAUUUGCUGUUUUGAAGUGAAAUGGCAAGUAUGGGCUUAUCAGGAACGCUGUCCCCAAGUAUUGGGAACUUGACCCACCUAAGAACAAUGUGAGUUACCUACCCUUCAGAAUGCUGUAGUGCUUACAUGUUUUGGUUUUUAUUAAUUUGUUUAAAUUUCAGUUAUUAGUUUCCGAAUAGUUGCCCUCUGUACAUUGACGUUUUGAAAUAAUCUGUAAUGUAUUACAUAUUGGAAAAUAGUACUUUUUCGUAAAUCUUCGAGGAAAUAAUGAAAAAAGUAAACCUUUUCUUGUUUAUAUACUACUAAUUUGUGAUUCCACAUUUUUUUUUUCUCCUGCAGGUUAUUGCAUAACAAUCAGUUAUCUGGUCCUAUCCCAGUUGAAUUUGGGAUGCUCUUAGAGCUUCAAACUCUUGACCUUUCUAAUAAUCAACUUGUUGGAGAAAUUCCAAGUUCUUUGGGUUUCCUAACUCAUCUAACUUACUUGUAAGUGUGGAUUGACAUUCAUUUGGUUAACCAAUAUGUACGUUAACUAGUUCUGAGUUUGGGGUCGUCUAAUUUUUCAUGUUCUAAAGCUUUUCUAUGACUAGUUUUUCAGGAGGCUUAAUAACAACAAGUUAUCUGGACAGAUUCCUACUCUUGUUGCCAAUCUUACAAGUCUUUCAUUCUUGUAUGUGUUGCAUGUCAUACAAACUGUGUUUUCUUUUUUUGAUUCUUUAAAAUGCUUCUGAUUUAUAUUUUAUAAUACCGUACAGGGAUUUAUCAUUCAAUAAUCUCAGUGGGCCUACACCUAAAGUACUAGCAAACGGCUACAGGUGAGAAUUUUAGAGGAAAGAGAUUUUCCCUAUCAAUAAACCUUACUACUCUUGCUUGUUCAUAUGUUUUAAUUUAAACAGUAGUGUUCUUUUAGGCAUCCUCCAUUGAUUCAAUGAAUCAAAAUUCCUGUACUAUUUAUGAGUUCAUCCUGAUAUUUGUUUUAGACAACUAAAGGUCAGCAUAUUUCAUUCUAGUUUUACAGGGAACAGCUUUCUUUGUACUUCAUCGGAACAUUCUUGCACUGGUAUUUCUAAACCAGAAAAUGGUAAUCUAGAUGCAACAUGUCUUACGUUUUCUUAUGUAAUGUGCUUCAAUGAUGUGAAUCCAAAUUAAUUACAAUACAAACUGAAGAGACAGGUCUAUCUCCAAAAGCCAGUGGUCACCGUCGAUUGGUGCUUUCUCUUGCUGUUGGCAUCACUUGCACAUUUGUUGUUUCAGUGGCGUUGCUUGUUUGUUGGGUGCAUUGGUACAGAUCGCGUCUUCUUUUUACAUCAUAUGGUACUUUCCGAACAAUAUGUAAUUUUACUAACCAUGUACUUGUUUAUAGAGGGUGAGAAAAAUUAAAAUGAUUUGCGAUUUGCAGUUCAGCAAGAUUAUGAAUUUGAUGUUGGUCAUCUGAAGAGGUUUUCAUUUCGUGAAUUACAAAUUGCAACUGGAAAUUUUAGUCCCAAAAACAUUCUAGGGCAGGGAGGAUACGGAGUAGUAUAUAAAGGAUGUCUUCCAAAUAGGAUGGUGGUGGCAGUUAAAAGGCUAAAAGACCCGAAUUUCACUGGAGAGGUGCAGUUUCAAACUGAAGUUGAGAUGAUUGGCUUAGCUUUGCAUAGAAACCUCUUGCGCUUAUAUGGCUUCUGUAUGACACCUGAAGAAAGGUUGCUUGUUUAUCCUUAUAUGCCGAAUGGGAGUGUUGCUGACUGCUUGAGAGGUUAGUUUCAUUUCCUUGAGCCAGUCCAGAUUGCUAAUGUGAGCAACUGCUGCUUGAGGCUUUGCAUUGAAGCUCACACUUUUCUGUUUGUUAAACAUCUGUUCCUUAGCUCACUAAUUCAGUUAGGGAAAUCUUGUUUGUGUAUUCAUUUCUGCCCAAAAUGAUAUUGUGACCCGAAAUGUUUACUCGUCAUAUUAAGAACACAUUUAAAUAUUUUCACAAUUUGCCCUAAUUCUGGGGCACUUCUUGAUGAGUUCUCAUUUAUAUUCUUAUAGUCGGAAGAAUCAUAAUUCCUAUAGGAAACUUUUUGUUUGGUCAAUAGAAAAACAACCGUGUUAUGCAGCUAUGCAUCUGAAUUCAUUUUGAAUAGCUUCUGGAUUUAAUCAGUCACACUGAGUUUGAAAUACAUUCAAUCUCUGCAUUCUUAUUCUACCUUUACUUUUUCUCUUCGUCUUUUCACUGUUUCUUUGUUGGCUUCUUUUAUUUGGUAGACACUCGUCAGGCAAAGCCACCUCUUGACUGGAAUAGACGGAUGCAUAUUGCCCUUGGAACUGCCCGUGGACUUCUUUACUUACACGAACAGUGUAAUCCAAAAAUAAUUCAUAGGGAUGUUAAAGCGGCAAACAUUUUGCUUGAUGAAAGUUUUGAAGCUGUGGUUGGGGAUUUUGGCCUUGCUAAGUUGUUAGAUCGGAGAGAUUCACAUGUCACUACUGCAGUGCGGGGAACUGUGGGUCAUAUUGCUCCUGAGUAUCUUUCAACUGGGCAGUCCUCUGAAAAAACUGAUGUCUUUGGAUUUGGGGUACUACUUUUGGAACUCAUUAGAGGGCAAAAGGCCUUGGAUGUUGGAAAUGGUCAGGUUCAGAAGGGAAUGAUCCUUGAUUGUGUAAGUACCUACGGCUCUCUUGUAAAUUAAGUCGUUGGCAGUGCCAGCACAUUGCAUAUCUCGAUUCUGCAUGUUGCAUCUCUGGAAACAACUUUUGUGUUCCCCUAGUUACUAAAUAUUACACCAAUUAUGCAGGUUAGAACCUUACAUGAAGAGAGGAGGUUGGAUGUGCUCAUAGAUAGGGAUCUAAAGGGAAGUUUUGAUCCAACGGAAUUAGAAAAAAUGGUACAGCUGGCUCUGCAGUGUACUCAAUCACAUCCUAACCUCCGACCAAAGAUGUCGGAAGUCUUGAAGGUCUUGGAAGUUCUUGUAGAGCCAGUAACAGAAGAAAUGCAAGGUGGAACCCACUUUUGUGAGGCAAGGGAUUGUAGCUUCUCUGGGAAUAAUAGUGAUCUUCAGGACGAGUCAUCAUUUAUCAUUGAAGCCAUUGAACUUUCUGGACCUAGGUAAUAGAAACUACUAGAUGCAGUGUCCAAAAUUCAGCUGUAAAUGAGGUUUGCUUCUUAUUAGGCACAUUAUUCACUGAAUUGUAGUCGAACAUUUUUUGGGUUAGUGCCUGAGGUUGCAUCAGGGCUUCCAGGCAGUUAACUGUAAAUGUUACUACUCUAAAGCCUUUUCCUGGGAGCGUCUAAAUAUGCUUCAGGAAUAUAUUAUUCUUAUAAUCAUGAUUCAUUGACAAUAAUUUAUUUUCCCAGAAGCUACGCUACACAUUACUGGAAUUAGUUGGCGUGACACAUGCCAGCUGUCUCCAAAUUAUGAUUUAUUUCCUUUUCAGUUAAUGGUUUAAAUUGUAAUUUGAAGAUAAUAACGUGUACAGUCUGCUGGCACUUACCCAGCGGGUGGCGGCUAAACCUUUUGUAUCUCUUUGCACUUUCAAUGCAUAUCCAUUUUCAGCAGACGAAGAUUCAUGAAUUGAAUAUGCACUAAAAUGUAAAAUCCCUUAUAGCCACUUGCAUUGGUUGAUAGUGCGACAAGUGAUUAAAAGAUUGUGACUACCAAACUCUCCAACCGUCCCACUUGAUUAAAUUUUGGCCAUAACUCCCCUGUUUUGGUCUCUCCCAGUGCCUGGUGAAUGUGCUUCAAUUUUGCAUUCCAUUUUAUAUAUAAAAAAAAAAUCCCAUCUCAGUUUUUACCUCCGCGGUUUGCUUAAGUUGCGGCGCCAACAGAGGCAGCAGCCUUUACCUAUUCAAAACGUUACCUAAAAAAAACAAAAUAUUAAAUAUUCCAUGCCAAAAAGAUAAGCCAAACAUAACAAGAUAAGCAUGUUAACUCUACGUGUUUGUAAUGCAAUUCUCUGCUUGCUCCUAGGGUCCUUCCAAAUACAUACUUUAUUUGGUUACUUAAAUUCCAAAUCACGAAUAAAUCCAAAUCACGAAUAUUAACCAUUAAAAUAUAAUUUCAUUCCCACUCAAACUCUACCUCUUCUGGUAUUGUUUGUUGGUUCGUUUCUUCUCACCUGAUCUCGUCUUUCAUAAUCGUUUUAUAAAUAUAUAUAUAUCAAGAAGAAUAUAAGGUACUUGGUUGACACUUGGUGGAGUUAUCUUUGGGACAACGUUAGAUCUCUGUUACGAGUCUAAAACUCUGUCUCUUGCUUCUUUCUUUUUCUUUUUUAAGUUUAUUUUCAAAAAAAGUAUGAGCUUGUUUUAUCCUUUUUUUUUUUUUUAAGUUAGGGGGUUUUAAUAUUUGAAGUAAUCAAGUAAACGCUUUUUUUGGUGGAUGAUUGGAGGGGCUCUCGUUUGCGUGUGUAUGAAGUGAACAAAUAGAGUAGGUGACGAUCUGGUCUCUGGGUUUGUUGUAAAGAAGCAAGAGGUUCGUUUUAUGUUGGAAUUAAUUAGCUGUUAAUUGUCAUUAUUUUUUCCCAAUAACCGAAUACUUUUGUCUGUAAAUACUGCAUAUUUGAUUCCAAUUUUCCAUUCUUGAUUCUGGUUUUUAAUCUGUGAAUGAUUGUUUUAUAAGGAUUGGCGAGAACGAGUAUUUCAGUAGUAGAGAUAAUGUCAUUGGCCAUAUGUCCAUGAUCUCAUUCUAUGCAUAUUUGUUCUCUUUUUCUUGAAAAUUAUUGGGGGGAGAAUUAUUUAAUUUUCUUACAUAAGAUUAAAUGGACCAAGAGACACAGAAGAGUAAUAGGAACGAUGACAAUUUGAGUCAAGUAAAUUGUAUUAUAAGUGAGAAUUCCAGAUAUUCGGUUAAUAGGGUUGCCUUGGACACUGUGGCUGCGGCAAAUUCAGUUGAAGCUGUGAGUAUUGGCGGGGGAAUUGAUGAUUUUGGAUCAAAAACUGACGAUCCUGGCUCAAGCAGAGCAUUAGUAGAAGCGCAAGAGGUGGUAAUAAACCAUGAUACAUGUACUAGCAGAGUAAUUGGGGAAAAUUCAAGCAAUCCUGUUGAUGGGGUGUCGUUAGAAACUGUGGCUGUUAGAAAUUCUGAACAGAAUACUGGUUUUACUGAAGAAAAUGGGCGCCUUGGAUUGAAAAUUGAUAAAAUGGUGUCAAGUGGUGCAGUAGUUAAUGCACCUGAGACAUGUAAUGGACAAGGAACUGAUGAGAGAGGUCAAACUGAUCCAGAGAGCAGUGGGAAUUCUAGUCAUGUGGGUGAUGUGGUUGUGCCUGUCAUUGUGAUAAAUUCAAAUCAGACAGCAUGCUCUGGAGGAGAAAAUAGGGACUUAGAAGUGAAAAGUAAUGAUUUGGGUUCAGGUAAGGCGCUGGUGGAAAACAGCAUCAGAAAAAUGUCUAAACCAGAAACCGAGAAGGAAUCCUGUGUGAUUGAUAUGAAAUGUAGUGCUGGAGGUGGAAAAGGGUUUAGGGAGAACCCAGAUGGGGAAAGAGUUUGUAGGAUUUGUCACUUGGGUUCUGAGCAAUUGUUGGAAACUACAGCUACUGCCUCUACCACUGUCAAUCUAAUUCAGCUUGGUUGUGGUUGUAAAGAUGAGCUUGGCGUUGCUCAUAGUGAUUGUGCUGAAGCAUGGUUUAAGCUAAAAGGAAACAGGUAAAUGUUUCUUGUUUCUGUGAAAACUUGCAUCUUUUUAGUGUCUGCCACAGAGUUUAUGGGUAAAUGUGUUUUUGGGUAGAUUUAUCAUCAGAAUGUACUGAGAAUUACAAGGGCUUUGCAAAUUUUGUGUUUCCCUAGAAGCCGAACUUUCCAAAUACAUACCUGAUUCUCUUGAGGUUUUGAAAUAUCAGCAGCAUUACCACAGGAAAAGAAAUAUUAAUUUCAAUUACUAGAUGAUGUUGCUUAAGUUAUAUGGUUUUAUUUCUUUUAACUUGCACAUAUUACCGAAUAAAAAUAAAAUUUUGUUCAAAAGAGUAACUUGGAUUUCUACUUCUUUUGUUCAUGUUGUAUUUUUUUUAUAUUUAAUUUUCCUCUCUUUUCUAAUGUAACAUGGAUUUCUACUUCCCUGAUUUUAGGAAGUUUUAGUCUCCAUUAAAUUUCAGUGCUCUGAACCUAAUUUCAAGUGGACUCUUGGUCUCAUGUUAAGCUCAAACCAAAUACUGAGCAUCCAGUUCAGGCGGCUCCUUCGCAGAGCAAAAAAUGGUCUAGGGGCUUUAGGUCCAUAAGCUUUCAGCUUGGAAUAUAGAUCUUGAUUCAUUGUAAGUAAGUUUGAUGAAUAUCCAUUUAGGGAAUUAGAUGUUUAUGGUGCUGUCAUAAUCAUUCUUCUCAGUAAUAUAGAUGAAAUAUUAAGUGAUAGCAAAAAACUUUAUGAUUCAUAGUGAGGAAAUGUCUUAUGGAUACCGGAUAGACAUGUAGGCUGGAAACAUCUCAUUCAUUACGUGUUGCUUUAGCAAUUGUGUGAAUAUUUCCAGAUAUGUGUAAAGUGUAGUAAACAUGUGAUAUAAUGAAAUUAUGAUUACGAAUGUGGUGAAAAUAAACUGUAUCCUGCAUUAUCUUUGUCAACAUUUCUCUAUUAUUGCCUCUCUUUUUGGUGGUUUUGGAUUUUCUGACAAUUUAGGAAUUAGAUGUUCUGGUGCUUCGCAGACAUGCUUUCUGUCCCUUUUAACAUGAUUACGAUAAUUCUUUUACAAGGAAAAAAGUGAUAUCUUUUGGUUUUUUAAUGUGAAUCAACAAAUUGUUUCAAAUUGAUUCUGUAAUAAUAAGGUUUCAUAUUCUGAGUGUGUAAUUUUAGUCUCAAAACAAUAAGUGAAUGCUUCCAGAAAUCUUUGAACCAUUAGUUGUUAGCAAAUUAAUAAUGACAUAGAGUAUCUUUCUUGUCUGUACAGAUUGUGUGAAAUUUGCGGCCAGAGUGCAAAAAAUAUUACUGGUGUUGGGGAUUACAGAUUUAUGGAAGAGUGGAAUGAGCGGAGAUUUAUUGCCAGCAGUAGCUCAUCAGAAAGGGGUGGUUGUUGGCGGGGGCAGCCAUUUUGUAACUUCCUUAUGGCAUGCUUGGUAAUAGCUUUUGUACUACCAUGGUUUUUUCGUGUAAAUAUGUUUUAGGAGAAGGUGAAUAAAACUUAAAAAGGAUUCUCUUUCCUUGUGUCAUUUGGAUUCUGGGCAACGUAGGCUAGUUCCACAUUAUACAGUGAUUUGCUGCUUCUGUGAUUGAAGGCUGGAUAGAAUUGAUUAAUGAUUAGCCUGCCCUAUUCAUUACUCUUAUGGUUCCCAUUGUUUUUUUUUUUUUUUAAUUUAAAUUAAAAUUUUAUUAUAAACUGUUUUUCUUAGUCAUUAUACUUUCGAUCCAUUCCAUUGUUAUCCAAGGUGUUGGUCAUUGAAAAUACUGUAGAGAAAACUGGUUGCUGCUUAUAUUUGAUUACAUUCCAUUGUUAUCCAAGGUGUUGGUCAUUGAAAAUACUGUAAAGAAAAUUGGUUGCUGCUUAUAUUCGAUUACAUGGAGAAUUCUAGUCUUUUGGCCUUGUGUCUUUAUCUUCUUGUUCUGUUGUCUAAUUUAAUCAUAUGUUACUGCUCGUGCUAGUAGGAAACCAUGGACGAGAUGCAUAGUCAGAGAACCACGUGCAUUAUGCAAUGCAGGCAGAGUUUUGCAAAGACCAAGACCAUUUCUAAUGCAUCCACCUUCCAGGCGCUUUUGAAAUAUAUUAUUUGGUAAAUGAAUAAAUAAAAAAUCAUCUAUUAUCAUAGCGGCUUCUAUCUAAGUCUAGGAUUUAUACCAAACUAUAAUUGUGGUUGGAUGAUUUUUACAUGGGCUCACUCCACUAAUUACACUAAAUUUUAUAUCUUCACAUGAUACUUCGUUCAUGGUGGAGAAAUAUUGAUAACUUGGAUUUGCGCCAAAAUAUAUCAAGAACAGUGAAUUGCAGAGUUGGCCGCAGAUAGUGAAAGGCCAUCCCAUAAAGGAUAAUAGAAUUUGCCAAUAUGGCGGUCUUUAUUUAUUUUUUUAAAUAAUUGAUUUUACACCAUCCCACCAUUCAGUAUCCACCAUUCCAUGGUUCCACCUAGUGAAAAUUAUGCAUAAGUUAUAAUAGUAAAACUAAUUAUGUUAGAAUGCAAAUGAAAAUUAUUUUUGCACUUCAACUUAAAUUUCAUUUACUUCCUUUCAACUUUGACUCUUCGUUUUACUAUAGAUAAAACGGCAAGCACUACACGAACACGAUAUGCGUUUGUACAGUACGGCAUGCACAUGGGUUGGGCUGACCUUAUAAUUUUAGACACACGGACCUUAAAAGGUAUAGUCCGAUUAGAGACGUAUUAAAACACGACACGUAAAAAGACUCAUAAUAAGCACGUUUCACUUUUUAAUGGAAUUAAACUUAAAAUUUCACGAUUUUACAAAUAACUUGAAAUUGAAUAUUUUAAUAUAUUUUAUUGGCGCAAGUUUUUUAAAUUCAUUUAGUUCUUAGUUAAAAAAAAGAACUGUAAUUGAUUUAUGUUUAUAAUUUAUUAAAUGCACAAUUGAUAUCAUGAUUUUAGCAAAUAAAAUUAUAAAUAUCAUGAUUUUAUGAAUAUGUACUAAUGUUAUUAUGGAUAAUGAUCUAUAACUCUAAAUAAGUUUAAGUUAAUAACUAAGUUAACCCUUAAGAAAAAUUUGGUAUUAAAAAAGAAUUCUAAUACCGCAGAGUCUAACUUAUUAAUUAGUAUUAUAUUAUCUUAUUAUUAUUAGUUUAUUAUUAUUAAAUACUGACUUUAAUUUUGAAAUUUGAACUCUGUAGAUAUAUGAACCCAAAUAAUACAUAGAUUUAAAAAAAAAUAUGCUAACAACUUGACAUGUCUUUUUUAAAAAAAAAUUGUUGUAUUUUUUUUUUUAUUUAUUUAUUUAGGCACGACAUAUGUCUUAGGUCGAACCUAAAUAAAAAAAUUAAAUACAGAGUGACUCAACUCGCGUACGAACACAUACGUAAGUCUUUGGCGAUAUCUAUUCAUGAGUAAGUUUCAUGCAACAAGUAAAAUUUCCAAAUUCUAAUGUUGAGUAGUGAAUAUAAUUCUGUCAAGAAGUAUUAUAGUGAGACCCCAUCAGCAUUCCGUUGUAGUCUAGGUGGUUAGGAUAUUCGGCUCUCACCCGAAAGACCCGGGUUCAAGUCCCGGCAACGGAAGUCCUUUAUGCAUAAUUUUCGCUUUUGUGAAGGGGGUAUUUUCGUCAAUGUACGAAUCAACCAUUACAAAAGCCCUAAAUCGCUCACCGAGUCUAUCUUAGCUGCCUCUAUUCUUGUCAUCAGCCCCUCUGCGAUCAGCAAGCAGCAAUGGUUGUUUUCUUACUCGCUGCAUUUGAUUUUGAUUUGAUUCGGUUCGUUUCAAACUUGUUGUCUGUUUUAUUAAUUGUGAUGGUUUGGUUGUUUAUGGUCAAUCAGGCGUCAGACAAGAAGCUGUCGAAUCCAAUGAGAGAAAUAAAAGUGCAAAAGCUGGUCCUCAACAUCUCCGUCGGUGAAAGUGGCGAUCGUCUCACACGUGCGGCCAAGGUCCUCGAGCAACUCAGUGGACAAACCCCCGUCUUCUCCAAGGGUAACUUACUUGCUUACACUUCACAAUAAUUUUCUUAGGUAUUUCUUUCUUUACUUACUUUUUUUUUUUGAAAGAAAAUAAUAAUUUUCUUUAUCAUUGCUAUUUAAAAAAAAAAAUGUUAAUAGCGAGAUACACUGUGAGGUCAUUCGGAAUCAGGCGUAACGAGAAGAUUGCUUGUUACGUUACGGUUAGAGGAGACAAGGCAAUGCAGCUUCUGGAGAGCGGUUUGAAGGUCAAGGAGUACGAGCUCCUGCGGCGUAACUUCAGCGAUACCGGCUGCUUCGGCUUUGGCAUUCAGGAGCACAUCGAUCUCGGAAUCAAGUUUGUUUCUUGACUCAAUGACCGUUGACAUUUUAUUCCAAUCUUAUUAUUAUCGAUAUUAUCAUUAUGUUUUAUGUUAGUAUUUUAGUUUAUGAGCUUUUUAAAAAAAAUUUGAACUCAUUGGUAGCUUGAGAAGUCAAGCCAAGGUUAAUUGAAUAGUUACUUUACUUUCAUGUGUUCCUAGCAUGCUGUAUUGUAAUGCUGUUGUACACACAACAUUGGCUGCCUAACUCUUGAUACGAGUCAACCAAAUGUUGGGUUGGCUUUCAGUAUGCUCGUGUGGAGUGAGUCUAAGAAUUGGUAUUUGAAAUUGAUGCCUCUGUUUGAGAAGCAAAAGUUAUUCGCUCAGUGUGGGGUUGAUGCCAACUUGCUUUAUUUAAGGGUCAUAUCUGAUUAAAAUAUUUUUUUUCCCGGAAUUAAUAGCAAGCGCUAGGUUCGUACCAGAGUUACCUAUGGAACAAAAAGAUACUUUCUUUCCUAUAUGUAUUAUACACCAAAUUUUAUUAAUGCAGUCUGUCUCUGUUUCUUCCUUUAUAUUUUAUUUAAUUAUGUAUUUUCUUGUAAGAAGGGUGAUUUUAGAAGUAAUAUUUUUUUUUAAUUAAUCUAUCCAGUAAAUGAGUUUAUGUUGAGCUAACUGUUGGUGGUUAUUUUCCCUUAUUAGGUAUGACCCUUCCACAGGUAUUUAUGGCAUGGACUUCUUUGUUGUCCUUGAACGCCCUGGAUACCGUGUUGGUCGUCGCCGCAGAUGCAAGUCUCGCGUUGGCAUCCAACAUAGAGUUACGAAGGAGGAUGCCAUGAAAUGGUUUCAAGUGAAAUAUGAAGGAGUUAUCCUUAACAAGUCCCAAAACAUUGGUGCUUAAGGCGAUCUUUGAAACCUGUUGAGUUUUUUUUUUCCCUUAAGUUUUGGGCAGCUGCCCGAUUUUUGUUUAUUAGAAUCUAUAUUUUCCUUUGGAGUUUUGAGUUGGUGGAUUUUUUUAAGCACAAUUUGCCGUGGUUGCCCUGUUCUUUUAUUAGAAUAAUGGUAAAGGCAAUUAUUUUUCUUUUGAAAAUUUCAUUUAAGUUCUUUUACCCUGUACGCUGACCUGUUAUUGCAAAUGGCUUGUUUAUCAUCAGCGGUAGCAUUCUACCACCUGUUGCUAAAAUCCUUAACAAUAAAACUCUUUGCACUAAUAAAUUUUCAUGUGCUGUCAUUUAAAUAUAAAGACAACAUGGACAAUUGUACACGCGACUGCUUAGGAGGGCGAAGCUCAAAAUAAUUGGAAUCUACAUAGGCCAGCUGAAACAACAACAUAAAGACCAUUCAAUAAUGGCAGUCAGUGGGAAUACAUCUCUUGUAUAAAACGCAUAUUUUUGAAGCACGUUUCAGUGUUGUAAGUAUGUUGAUAAUUCAGGUAUGCUUAGAAACAUGCAAGUAUGUUGAUAAUUCGGGUAUGUUCAAUGGUCUUUCAAGAUCUCAACUUCUUAAUGAGCUCACUUUUUUUCAUCCUCGAGUAACCUUUGAUCCCUCUAGCCUUUGCUAGUUCUUUAAGCUGGGGAAGCUUCAAUUCCUCUACCCUUGGCAACUCUAGCUGCCUGGUGCUUUCUUUGUUUGCCGAUGGUUCAUAGUUCAAAACUCUUUUAUCUCUAGGGGCUGAUGGAGAUGGUAUGGGAGACCUCUUGACAAAAUUAGAUGGCAACCGAGUUAACUUGGUGUCUGUGACUGGUUCGUUAUUCUGUAUUUUCUGCUCUUCCUUGGGCACAUCCUUCAUUGAAUGUGUGUCUGUCACUGCAAGUAUUUUGAAUUAGACAUAAUGAUAGUGCAAAAUAAGUUAACUUUAAUUACAUACCAAAUCAAACUGAACAUUGCAAUAAACAAUUGAAACUCUAACUCAUUCUGCCUAGAAAGUUAAUAGUUUCGGAAUUCGUGUUGUCCAGAAUGAAAGUGGUACUAGUUGUGUGAUGAUGUUGCCAUGGUCAAAAAGUGAAUCGAAGUUGUACUGGCGAUACUACUUAUUCCUUUUCUCAUUCUUUUCAAACUGAUGCCUUUUAAAUAUCCAAGAGUAGCAAAUUCAAGAUAGAUUUUCUAAGAACCAUCUCUAUUCUCUUUUUUUUUAUUAUUAUUGUUCUGUUAACAAAAAAAAGCAACAAGUCACAUGUUUUAUUCCUAUGGCAACUGUGGCAAACCAAAGAAUUGGACAACUAAGGACAUUCCAAAAUCCUAGUAAGAAUACUUCAUGAAGUUAAAUUUAUGCUAGUCUUUUCCAUAACUAAAAAUGUAACACAAGACUGCAGUACCUUUUACUUCCUUUCGUGGCUGGAGAAGAACAUCUGGAACUGAUUGAACUUUGGGCUUGUCAGAUGAGCUGGGAUUUCUUUUCUUUGUGCGUAUAGCCUCUCUCUUUGAGAUUGAAGAUUUAAUCCGUCCGAACAGAGAAAUUAUCGCUUCGUUGUUAGAUGAGCUCGAUACCUUACCAUCAGAUGAUUGAGAUGAUUCAUUUCCGUCCCCAUUCUUGGUUCUUCCAGCAGCAUAACCAUUCAGGGGUGGUCGGUCUCCUCUACUUCCAUCAGCUCUUAUGCUUAAAUAAGUAAAUUUAAAUGGGCUCUUUUGGAUGCCAAAAGGGGAAGGCCAAUCUGCAAUCUCUGUCAAAUUCAAGAAGCUGCAUCAAAGAAUGACCUCUCAAGUCUGUAGUUUAAUUCAACACAUCGACAAGCUGUUACCAGACUACAACCCAAGGCAAUAAGUAAUAAGAACAACAUUAUUACAGGAACCAUUAAUUAAUGGCAUACAUCAGCAACUAAGUGAUUAAGCCAACAGUUCAAGUGAAAAUGCAAAACAUCCCAAAUAAAGACUUAAACUUCGAGCACUAAGAAAAGUCCACGCAAUUCAAAGUGAUGGGCAUUUUCAUAAUCGGAAAAGGGAUGAUUUAAUACCUCUUAGGGACAAAACGGGAGUUCCUGGCUUCAGCUGUUUGUUGAAAGACAACAUAGGUUGAGGAUAAAAAGAAGUUGCAUCCAUCUAAGUCUCCUGGAAAAUCGGAGAUGAUUCAGACAGGUAUAAUUAGCUUAAGCAGUUUUCAGGAAACAAGAGGGAUUUUGACAAUUUCAUUAAUAGGGAAAAUAUCUUUGCACUACAAACUGCAUAUAGUUUCGUUGGUAGGGAAAAAAAUAACAAAUAAAUAGUUGGUCCACAACUUUGAAAAGCUCGUGCGCGACACGUGACAUACUCUGCUGUAAAAUACUAAUUAAGUUGCGAGAAUUAUCAAAAUACUCCCUGUAAUCUAAAAAAAUAGUGAAAUAUAUAUAUAUAUAUAUAUAUAUAUAUAUUCAUUCAUUCCUCUAACAGUGCCAUCAAUUCCUGAGUCCUGACAACAAAUGAUAGAGUUACGGGAUGUGUUACCGGCCCUCGCCCACAUAUGCAUUAAUGUGUGGGAAAGGACUGGAAGUCUGAGAGAAUCAAACUGUCAAAGCAAAAGUCUCUAUAGUUUGCAUUUUCGUCCCGCCACCGCCAAAUGUCUUUGGCCGUUGUUUUACUUACCACAUCUAUGCUUAUUGCUUAAUCAAAUUCCUGCAGCGUAAAAGAAAAUGCAGAUUUUCAUGGCCAAAAUCACUACGAACUUCUUCUAUUUCUCUCCACCUAAUCAAAGUUAUGGAGAAAAAUUUGCCAGCUAUAAGCCAUCUACAUUACCAAUCAUCGUUUCAUCAAAUUCGCACAGUUCUUGCACAAUAAACCCCAUUUCUGCCUCGAUUUCCAAAACCCUCGUUUGCAAAACUAAAAAUUACAAUGCUGAAAUCGGCAGGUUUUGUGAAGUGGGUAAUCUUGAAAAGGCCAUGGAAGUACUUUACAGCUCUGAAAAAUCUAAAAUUGACACAAAAACUUACUGUUCCAUUUUACAGCUUUGUGCUGUCCUCAAGUCAUUAGAAGAUGGUAAAAAGGUUCACUCAAUUAUUUGUGAAAGUGGCAUUGUAAUUGACGAUGGUGUUUUGGGUUCAAAACUUGUGUUUAUGUAUGUUACUUGUGGGGAUUUAAAAGAAGGGAGAAGGGUUUUCAAUAAGAUUGAUAAUGGAAAGGUUUUCAUUUGGAAUCUAUUGAUGCACGAGUAUUCAAAAACUGGAAAUUUUAAAGAAAGUUUAUAUUUGUUCAAGAAGAUGCAAAGUUUGGGAAUUGCGGCGGAUUCUUAUACAUUUUCUUGUGUUUUGAAGUGUCUUGCAGUUGUAGGAAAUGUAAAAGAAGGUGAAUCGGUUCAUGGAUUUAUGUUAAAAUUAGGUUUUGGAUGUAAUAACACAGUUUUGAACUCUUUGAUUACUUAUUAUUUCAAGAGUAGAAGAGUUAAGGAUGCACAUAAAUUGUUCGAUGAAUUGAGUGAUCGAGAUGUUGUAUCAUGGAAUUGUAUGAUAAGUGGGUAUAUAGCCAACGGUGUGGCUGAGAAGGGACUUGAGGUUUUCAAAGAGAUGUUAAAUUUGGGUUUCAAUGUGGAUUUGGCUACAAUGGUUACUGUUCUUUCAGGUUGUGCCAAUUGUGGCGUUCUUAUGUUCGGUCGAGCAGUUCAUGCUUUUGCAUUGAAAGCAUGUUUUUCUAAAGAAAUCAGCUUUAAUAAUACUUUGUUGGAUAUGUAUUCGAAAUGUGGAGAUUUGGAUGGUGCAAUUCGGGUUUUUGAGAAAAUGGGAGAGAGAAGUGUUGUGUCAUGGACUUCCAUGAUAGCAGGUUAUGCUCGCGAAGGAGUAUUUGAUGGGGCUAUCAGAUUGUUUCGUGGAAUGGUAAGGGAGGGUAUUGAGCCAGAUGUUUAUGCUAUAACAAGCAUUCUUCAUGCUUGUGCUUGUGAUGGCCUAUUGGAAAUUGGUAAGGAUGUGCAUGAUUACAUAAAGGAAAAUGAUAUGCAAUCAAGUUUGUAUGUGUCUAAUGCUCUUAUGGACAUGUAUGCCAAAUGUGGAAGCAUGGCAGAUGCUGAAUCAGUUUUUAAUCAGAUGCCUGUAAAGGAUAUUGUCUCAUGGAAUACCAUGAUUGGGGGUUACUCAAAAAAUAGUUGUCCUAAUGAAGCUCUGGAUUUGUUUGUUGCAAUGCUUCAAAAUUUUGAACCUGAUGGUGUAACGAUGGCAUGCAUUCUUCCUGCUUGUGCCAGUCUGGCUGCUUUAGAGAGAGGCCGAGAGAUUCAUGGUUACAUAUUAAGACAUGGAAUUUCAGCGGAUAGAAAUGUUGCCAAUGCAAUUGUAGACAUGUAUGUGAAGUGUGGGGUAUUAGUGCUUGCACGUUCACUCUUUGAUAUGAUUCCUGCAAAGGAUCUUAUCUCGUGGACAAUUAUGAUUGCUGGGUAUGGUAUGCAUGGGUUUGGUUGUGACGCUAUUGCUACCUUUAAUGAUAUGAGACAGGCAGGUAUUGAGCCUGAUGAGGUUUCCUUCAUUUCUGUAUUGUAUGCUUGCAGUCAUUCUGGAUUAGUUGAUGAAGGAUGGAGAUUCUUUAAUAUGAUGCGAUACGAAUGCAACAUCGAGCCCAAGUUGGAACAUUAUGCUUGUAUGGUUGAUCUUCUUUCCAGGACUGGCAACCUUUCAGAAGCAUAUAGAUUCAUUGAAAUGAUGCCUGUUGCACCAGAUGCCACAAUCUGGGGAUCUUUACUCUGUGGGUGCAGAAUUCACCAUGAGGUUAAAUUAGCAGAGAAAGUUGCAGAACAUGUUUUUGAGCUGGAGCCGGACAACACAGGGUACUAUGUACUUUUAGCCAAUGUCUAUGCAGAGGCUGAAAAGUGGGAAGAAGUGAAAAAGUUGAGGGAGAAAAUUAGCCGACGGGGCUUGAAAAAGAACCCGGGCUGUAGUUGGAUAGAGAUCAAGGGCAAAGUAAAUAUCUUUGUUGCAGGAGGUAGUUCUCAUCCGCAUGCCAAAAAAAUAGAGUCUCUUUUGAAGAGGUUAAGACUAGAGAUGAAGAGGGAAGGUUGUUUUCCUAAAACUCGCUAUGCUUUGAUUAAUGCAGAUGAAAUGGAAAAGGAGGUGGCUCUCUGUGGGCACAGUGAGAAAUUAGCCAUGGCUUUCGGGAUCCUGAGCUUGCCGGCAGGCCAAACCAUUAGAGUCACCAAGAAUCUGAGAGUAUGCGGUGACUGUCAUGAGAUGGCCAAGUUUAUGUCGAAGACUGCUCGAAGGGAGAUUGUCUUGAGGGAUUCUAAUCGUUUUCACCAUUUUAAGGAUGGGCGUUGUUCUUGCAGAGGCUUCUGGUGAAUCAGAUGGGCCAUAUGAAGGAACUCAUUAGAUAUAUUUGAGGAUUCCUACCCGUUCAUAAGUUGGUCUUCAGAAACCAUUUAGUUAGAUUAUUGUAUACUACGAUUCUUUGACCAAUUAGCUUAUCAGUGAUAAAAGUUUGAAGAGUUAGGACUCACGUGGUACGGUAGGGAAGCAUAUACUAAUUUACAGUCUCAAACUGUUCUGUAAUCCAACUAUGUAACUCAAAGGCGGUCGUUAAUAUCUCAUUGCCAAUCUAAGGUACCAUUUACUUCUUGCAUUGGAUUGAAAAUUCUGAGGAGUUAGAAUUCUGAGAUUAGGAGCGUGGAGUAAGAGUGUGAAUAAGUUGCUUACUCACACUGAAAUGAGAGUUUGGAAUAAGAAUUAGAAUCUUAUUUUUGUGUUUACAUUGUCUUAAGAGUGUGAAUAAGUUGCUUACUCACACUGAAAUGAGAGUUUGGAAUAAGAAUUAGAAUCUUAUUUUUGUGUUUACAUUGUCUUGAAUUGAAAGUGAAUUGUCUCAAAUUAUAAUUUUAAUAUUAUUUAAAGAAUUAUAGUUUUUAAUUACAAAGUGAAUAAAAAAAUAUAUAUGUAAAAUGAAUUAUUUAUUUUAUGAUAAAUUUAUAAAUUAAUAAUUAUUACUAAUAUUCUUAAUUAUGUAAAGCAUAUACUAAUUUUUUUAGAGUAAACUAUUUAUUAUUAUUAAUUAUUAAUAUUAAAUAAAUACAAUACUAUUAAUAUUAAAUAAAUAUAAUAAUAUUAUAUUUAAAUAAUAUAAUAAUAUUAAAUAAAUAAAUAUAGUAUUAUUAUUUUAAAGUAAAUGUAUAUUUUAAUAAAUAUAAAUUAUAUUAUAUUUAAUAAAAGAAGAGUUAAAAAAGAAGUGGUGAGAGUUUGAAUGGAAAUGGAAAUGGAAAUUUUAAUUCUCACUUAAAAAAUGAGUGAAACCCAUAGAGUGAGACUACCACUCUUCUUUUAAAAUGAGCAAAUAAAUACUGCAAGGCACCGGAAGGAGUCCACACUCCCUCGAUCCCACUCUAAAUAAACACUACGUAAAAGUAGCUUUUUGUAACAGAAGUUACUCGGCUUUAUGGCUGUUGAUGUAGAUCUGGGUAUUUUUGUUGUACUUUCUAAUCAUUCUUGAGACCGGUAGAAGUCAAUUAUUUUUCUUUCAGGUGGCUUCCUAAGGCAUCCUUACAUAACAUUUUCUUUCUUUUUCCCCCAGUCCCCAUCUCUUUCUAAGGCCAGCCAUUGUAGAGAGUUCGAGUGAAUAAUGAUAUAUGUAUACCUUAUUUUAGUACAAAAGUCGCAAAAUAUGAAAAAUUCAUAUGUUGUAUUUAAUUUUUUUGUCAUGUUUUUAAUUUCUUUUUCUAGUAAUAAUAUGCUAUUUUUUUGUGCACUCAUCAUUAUUUGGUUUGGUCACUCCUAGCAUGAAGUACCGCACGAUCUUGUAUCUUUUAUAAGGUAAAAGCAUGGUUGUGGCAAGAUUAUAAAAAUGUUAAUCUCAGCACCCAGCAUUCUUUCUUCUCCAUUUUCUUUAUUUACUCUCAUGAUAACUACCCCUUUAUUCCUAAAUCUAUUAAGCUCAGUCGGUGCUAUUUCUGAAGCGUCAAGGAGAUGGCAAUGAUUAUCAUCACUUAUUUAUCUGUUUAUUGUAAAUAUCUUUAUUAUUUUAACAUGGAUCCAAUGGCAAUUUACUUUACCUCCUCUGAAAAAUGCUUUUAGGCUUGUCUAUCUAAAAGCUGGCAUGGAUUAAGCAAAGGGAUUCAGGGUGCAUCUGUCAUUUAUGGUUUCCGCUUUAUUUCCGUCCAAUUGUGGGCGACAGACAAUAAUAAAUAAACCAUGUGCAAGGUGCAAUUACCCAAUAAACAAUACCAAUUACGAAAUUAUAGCCUACGGAGAACCCCUUUUUUUUUUUUUGUGGGGGGGGGGGGGGGGGGGGAGGGGCUCGGGUUGUGACUUGUGACGCCAUUCUUUUAUUGUUAUCAACUGUUUGUAUUCAAUACACAGUGACACCAAUUUCACAAUUGAAAUUCCUGUAAUUUGAAGGAUACGAUAGUACAGUGUGAAGGAAGUGGUUGGUCUCAAAUCUCAAUAGCACCACAGAGUUUGUAUAAUUCUUAGAAGAGUAGUGCUACACAUCUUAAAUUAUUUAGCUCAAAAAGUUAUCAUAAAUGAUGUGUCAUUCAUCAAUUGGUUAGUGAAGAUAAUAUAAUUAACUCACUUAGAACUUAUAAAAAAUUACUUAAUAAAUAUCAUAUUAUUUGAGUUAAAAAAAAAAAUUUAAGAUGUCUAUCAUUAAUCUUCUUAGAAACUUGUGUGCAAUAAGAUUGAGGUAAAUAGGGAAGAAAAAAGAUUAUGAAAUUGGAAAUUCAUCGACAUGGGGGUGGUCCAUUUUGGAAACCAAAGCCCCACAGAACCUCAACAUCCAAUUUCUAUAGCGAAGUGGCAGCUGGAUCCAACCAUCCAAGGAUUUGUCCUACAACAUCAAUUUCAUUUUUUUCGUAAAAAAAUUUCCAAUUACAGAUUCAUCAAACAUCACCGACUUGGCUUCCAUUUUCAUCCCUAUAUAAUUAGAUCAUAAUUACACAACUAAUGGCAUCGAAGCCAUCACUGAUGUCCCUAACUAUUUGUGUAACCGAACAUGACUUCGUAACUGAUUACAUUACAUUUUUUAUUUUUUUUUGUAUUGCGUGUAUUGCAUUAUGAUGCAUUAUAUUAUGUUGUACUGUAAUUCGGUGUAGUAUAGACUAUAUUAUAUAAAGUAAUACUAUUUUAUAUUAAUAUUAAAAUUAAAGUAAUAUUAUUUAAAUUUAUUAGUACUUACGGUUUUAAUUAUUAAUUAUUAAAUAAUUAUUUUAUAAUAUAAAAAUUAAUAAUAUAUUAUUAUUAAACAAUAAAAUGCUAUAACAUUAUUAAUAAAUUAUAUUUUUACAUAAUUUAUUUCAAUAUAUUAGUUAUCAUAAUAUAGUGUAAUUUAAUAUUAUAUGGUCAAAAUAUACUAUUAUAUAAGUAUAUAAUAUAAUAUUAAAUUACAAUUUAUUUUUAUUUAUUAACAUCAAACAUAGUUGUUUAAUUUAAAUUUAGUAUUUUAGUAAAUAAUAAAUGAUUAAAUAAAAUUAAAUACUUUAUACAUAUUUAAAGUAAAAUAAUUAAAAUGAUUCUAUCUAAUGAAAGCAAAAUAAUGUAUUAUUAUUUAUUUAUUAGAUAUUCAGGUUUAAGGUUUAUUAAUAUUUUAUAUUAUUAUUUAAAUUAAAUUUUUAUUUAAAUAUAAAUAUAAAUUAAUAUUAAAUAAAUAUAGAUUUACUAUAUAUGUGCUUAGCCUCAAAUCAUUUGUUAUAAUUUACGAGUAAUAAACGUUAAAUGAUUAUGUUUACAAUAUGAAUAUUAUCUAAACAUAAUACAACCUAAACUCUACUCCCUCAUAUGUUUAUUUUAUACACCUUUCAUUACGUUAACCAUCUUUUUAAAUACUACUAAAAAUUACAGCCAAAUAUGGGUCAGCAUAAGAGCAAUACUUUAACACCAAACAAUGCGAGCUGCCAAAUGCAUCCAUAAUGACUUUCAAACAAUUUUCAGCCAUAAAUGAUAAAUCACCAAGAGACAAUUCAAUUCAAGAUAUAGUCCUCGCAGCAGAUUUUGAUAGAAAUUAGAAAAGCAAUAGAUGGAUAGCAGCAAACAUGUUCUGUACUACGAUGAGGAUUAACAAAUUCCAUCUGUUCAGAUAUGUGGUGUUCAAUAGAGAGAGCUCAGAAGAGUUUGGUCAAGUGGCACUAUCAACUAUUUUACCUCCACAACAGUCUGCAAUCAAUUCAGUCCACCAAACCUACUAAAUAUUUGUUCUCUUUUUAAUCCCCGUCAUAUGAAAGAAUAGUAUUGAAAGAGAAAUGCGGGGAAAAUGAAUCCCUGUGUGAGCUUUUUUGUUUUAUGUUUUACUACUGCUUGGACAGAGAUGAAUAACAAACCGCAUCCAAGUAAAAGCAAACAGGAUGAGAACAAAGUGUUUCCAAAGUUGGCUUUAUUAUUAUUAUAGCAAACAAAUUAAUCUCAAGUUAAGCACAUAAGAUGGACAGGGAGGCUGAAUAAAUGAAAAGCACGAACAACUGAAUGCUUGUACCUCAAGAAAAAUGCACAAUUAUCUUAUGCUGUAAGGGAAAACACUUUACCCCUCUUUAGCUUCUAACAAUACAAACAAUAGUGACAAAAAUCAACAGCAAAAGGACGAAACCGCCGAUCCUUCCUCAUAUCGUGAUCAAAGCAUAAAAAGUUUGAACACACUAAUUCAAUGAUUCCUGGGUCUCUUUUCUACUUUCCCAAAUUCCCCUCUACGAUCCUUAAUAAUUCAAUGAAUACAAUAAUAAAUCAUUAGGAAUCUCACUUCUAAUCACCAAUAUUUCCUAAUCUAAAAUCUAACCAAUCAAUCAAUGAUAUAUCCCCAUCGUUCCUUUAACCACACCAUUUCGAGAGAAGAACAACAAAAACAAUGAGAAAGACAAUAGAGGAAAGCCCAAUUGCAAGACCAAGAACAACCUUAUUUGGCCCGUGAUGGUGCUCCUUCUGGCUAGAAUCAUCAUCACUAUCGUCAUCAUCCGACGAAUCAUUUUCACUAUCAUCUGAAGAGUUAUCCUUAGCUGGUGGCGGGGAUAUUGGCAGUCCAUGCUUAUCGCAAGGAGCAAUCCCAAGCUUCAAUUUUGACGACAAAACCGUAUGAUUGUAACACAAAUUGGUAUUCCCACCAACCUUAAACACUUGCAAUUUCUCUAAAAUAGAAGCAUUAAACGGCAAAACACCAUGAAAAUUGUUGUUCUGAAGAUUCAAGUACCUUAGCUUCUUCAAAUCAGAAAAGAACCUGGGUAUCGUCCCAUUCAACUGAUUUGAACUCAGAUCAAGAUGAACCAUGUCUGUGAGUGAUGCCAUUGACUCAGGAACCGACCCAGAUAACGAAUUGGAAGCCAAAGACACAAUUUUUAACGCAAUCAAGUCACCAAUGGAAGAGGGUAUCUCUCCAUUCAGUCCAUUUGAAGUAAGAUUCAAGUGUUGAAGAUUCUCAAGAAGAGUAAUUGAAGUGGGUAUCUUUCCUUUGAGCUGAUUACCUGAAAAAUCAACAUGGGUGAGGUUCGAAUGCAGGUGCUUUGGAAUAUAACCAGUGACGUUGGCAUUAGAAAUGGUGACUGAUCUCAGCUUGUGCAUGUUACCAAUUAUGACAUAGAGGCCACUAGCAUUUACAGGGACAUUAGUAACAGUAAGAUCUGUAAGGUUGACAAAGCGAGAAAGAAAGACACCGGAGAGGUGGUGAAGCGAGUGAAUGCAAGAAAAGGAAAGAAGUGAAAGAGAAAGGUCAUUUGGAAAAUGAAUGGGAGCGAUAGGGCAGUUGAAAAAUGUCAGAUUUUGGAGAGUAGAGAGAGAUUUGAGAGCUGUGGAGGAAAGUGAGAUGUCAUCUGAACAGUUGGAGAGACGGAGAGAGAGGAGGUGGCUGAAGGGUUUUGAGGAGUCGCAUUUGUAAAGAGAGCAAGCGUUUUUUGAGGGAAUGUUGAGAGAUUGGAGAGCUCUUAUUUGUUUUGGGUCUAAAGGAGAAGGAUGUGAGGAAGCUACUGGCGUGGGUGUGGGUGUGCGUGUGCGUGGGGUUGGAGAAGAGGUGGGGGCUGAAGCGGGAGGGAGAGUUUUGGUUGGUUUAGUGGUGCCUGAGGAGGUUACGGUGGUUAUGGUGGCGGUGGUGAGGAGGAUAAGGAGGAGGAAGAGGAAUGGCAGGGGUGGUCUCAUGGUUCUGAGAGAGAAAGUGGAGUGUGUCACUGUGAGUUUUGUAAGAAGUGACUAGUGAGCAAGUGAGGAGGAGGAUUUGAUUUACGAAUUCAAGUGACAGUCUGUGCUUCAAUUUAUGGUAUUGUGCUUGGACCUUAUUACGAUAGUGCACAUGCUUGUUUAAUGAGUUUCAUUUUGAUUAUGCAGGGGGUAAUAACGUCUCUAUGAGACUUUUUUUUUACAUGAAAAAAAAAAAUUUGGUUCUAUUUUUUUCUAAAUUGUCUCAGAAAUAGCGAUAUAAUUUUAAUAAAUUUUUAAUAUUUGAAUCAUAAUUGACGCAGCAGUCAUUUAUAAAUUAUAAAAUCAUAUUCUUUUAUUUAAAUUUCCUUUUUUUUUAAUCACUCGUGUGAACCGAAUUUCCAAGCUACAAGCGUCAAGGUGCGAUUGAACUUUUAACAGGUGAUUUUAGAAAGUAAUUAAAAAAAUUAAAGAACAGGUUUUACAAAUAAAAAAAUCAUUUUUAAUUUUAAAAUGUGGCAGCUGUAAGCAAGCUUAAGCUGUCUCCCCCAAGUAAAAGUAGAGACUAGAGAGUAGUAAUUAGUAAAACCCAAAUUAUAUUAUCAGCUGAACUUGCGUGGCAGGCUAAUGGCUUCCACUAGGACCGGGCCCAAGAAAAACCGAUCCAACACUGGGUUCGGAUCGGAUCGAAUUCUUAACAAAAUCCAAUUCAAUGGAUUUUUGGCUUUAAAAUAAAAAAUAAAUUAAAGAAAAUUAAAAAUUGAAGCUAGUGAAAUACAAAUAGUCACACAUGUAUUUGGCAUUUCUCUCUUGAAGAAACUUAGAAACACACAAAGCCUCAUUCUCAACUCUUCAAGAAGAUAAAAAACACUCAAAUCAUAAAGUCUUUACUCUUUAUAGUUUUACACACGCACAGACACAUCGGAAAAGCAAGUGGCAGUCGCCCACCAAUCCACUAUCCAACAACGCAGACGUAGACGCAGCCAGCGAUGCCGCCCGCAAUCACCGCUAACAUCAAUCGAUCGUCUGCGACCAAAUCUGUUGCUCCAUGCCUCGACCAUCACCAAGUUCCUCCAAGCUCCACUAAGACCCAGCAACCCGAAUUUUCUCUUUUGAAUUUUUGAUUGUAUAUAGUAAUAAUAUAUUGUGAUAUGUUAAUUUUUUAGUUGUUAAUUGUUAUAAUAAUCGACUUUUUUUUUAAUUUUUUCUCUUUUUUUUGAAGAAUUUAAUUAGGUUUGUACAUGAGGUAAUCUUAAAUUACAUGCUAGAAUUUGAAUGAAAAAGAUAAAAAUGUUAUAUCUUUCUAUAAAUUGGCCCGAACCAUAUUUAAUCUGAACCCGAUCCAACCCAAAUUCAAUAUGAUUUUUUAAAUUGGGUUAUAGGUUCGAGUUGAGUUUGAGUAAAUUUUUGUCCAAUUCAAUCAAUCCGAAACUUGAUCGUGUUGAUCUGAAUCGAAUUUUACCCAACCUUAACCACCAUGCACCAUCACCUCUCUUUUUCAAAUUUUGGAAACUAAUGACCACAUUUAUUAGCUAGAUUCCAUACUCAGUUUAAUUAACUUGUUUUUAAUCUCCCUUUUGUUUGUAAAUAAUAAAUUCAGUUGUUGUAAAAUUUUACCAUCUAUUAUUGCAUUGAUUAAUUUUUAUCAUGUAUAUAUAUUAAGUGUAUUUUUAAAGUUCUUGUCUUUCAUAAAGCAAAAAAUAAAUAAAUAGAUAAAAGUCUUGACAAUAGGAUUAGGAACCUGCCGCCAAUCUAGUUACUAUCAAAGGCAAGUGACCAUUUGCUUUUUAUUUACGCAAUCAAAUAUAAAAAGAUAUAACUUCUCGGGCAUACACACAUCAUUUAACUUUUAUAGUUUCCUCACUGUUACGUUUUCCUUCACUUUUUCCCAAUGAACUGAAUAAUGAUAAUUUUCAAAAAUGCAAGGAAGCCAAAGCAAUUUGCCGAGGACUUUUGCUAAUUUAUUAUUAUUUUUUUUUCUUUGAUAAAUAUAUCUUCAACUUCAACUUCAAGGCGUUUGCUAUCAUGCUUUAUAUUAUUUUAUAUGCGAAAAAGGGGUGUGGGGGAUGUUUUGCUGAGUCUUUUUGGUAGAAGAGUUCAAUUACAAUUAAAUUGGCUCUUUUUUUUUUUUCCCCCUUCAUUUGCAAUUAAAAGAAAAAAAUAAUUGAAUGCAAUUGAGAGCCAGACACUUUGGAUGUAGUGAAAUGGAAUAAAAUGCAAAAAUAUGAUUGAAUGCAACCGAAUGUAAAAACAAUUGCCAUGAAAUCAAUGCUGCUUUAUCAUUGUGGAUGCUGAUUUGAUUAACUAUAACUAAAGUCUCAACCAAUUAUUUAUCUAACCGCUCCAAUAAUUAUUUUUUUUCCAAAAAAAAAAGUGGAUUUAGAAUGCAUACUUGGUAAUUAUUUAUCUUCUCUAAUAGUUUCGUUAGCAUUAAUUAUUAGAGUGAGCGUAAAGUAUAUGUAAAAUCCAGUGUUUGACUUUUUUUUAAAGCAAAAAUUGGUAGGACCAAAUUUAUAUCUUUUCAUUUUUGAGUAGGAAACAAACGGUCGAAUAUAAUGGAUUGUGGUCGUGUGACCGUUGGAGAGGCAAUUUCUUUUGCUCACAUGAAGAAGGCAAGGCAGCCAACCAAAAUCUAGUGUCGCUAAAUCAAGCUCCUUUUCAGAAAUAAAAUAAAAAUGAUAAAUUCAAGAAAUUCCCAAGAAAUUAAUUCAACAGAAGGCUCAUCUCAUUCAUUCUCUCUACUGCUUUUGUUUUCAUAGAAGGGAAGUUACAACCAAUCUUUAGCAACUUGAAUCUAACACACUGUAUUUGCAUCAGUCAAUAAAGAAAAUAAUAUCAAUACAAAAUGUGAUCUUGAAUUCCCCCAAAAAAUGGUGAGGUUCUUCUUAGUAACUCACUCAGCAAUCUAUGGAGAUGCAGGUUUGGCCAAGGGUAGCGCUGUUGGUUUUCUCGACGAAGGGAUCGAUCUUGACCCAGACAAGAGAGAAGACAGAAGCCAACAGCACUGACCAUAAGACAACAAUGGUUGGAGUUCUGUUUUGGCGACCCAUGAGACCCUUAAGGAAUGGAUAUAGAUGAACAAUCACCCAAAAGGCAAAGAACACUUUGCCGAAAAGCGGUCCCCAUGCUUCAUAUCCUUUGUUCAAUGCGUCGGAGAAUCCAGCAACAACGCCUACCAUGUUGACAAUGAUAAGAGAUGUUGGAGGAAUUAGAAGUGUUGUCCACUUGAUGAUGUAGAGUUCUCCGAAUUCCAAAUCAUCUGCUGCUUUUGAAGUGACUGUGAAGUUGGUGUCAAGGCCUGCCAGCAUCUUUAGAAAUCCUUGGAAGACAGCAAACAGAUGAGCCGAAACGCCUCCAAUCACCCAAAACUGCUCAUUACGCCAUAGGUCCUCAAUAGUGACCCCACUCCAUCGUAGUUCAAGCACACUGGUCGCAAUGAUGGAGAGGAAGAGCCCAAGAAACAGAACGCUUGCCAGGUUUGAGAGCUGGAACCAAGUGUAGAAAAAGUUAUCAAGUUAGUUCUCUACUUAAAAGCUAACUAACUAUGCAAAAGUGUAAACGAAUAAGGCCGGAAUUUACCGUUGGUAUAAUGAAUUUUCCCGUGAGAAGGCAAAUUGCAGGCAAUGAGCAAUAGGCAAUGAGAGGGAGUGAGGUAAAUGGGUAGACAAUGGUGUUUAUGUAUGCCAGCCUUUGCAACAAUUUGAGGCGGCCUCCUCCAAAACCAUACCAGAGGGGACAGUGUCUACUCAGGAAAAUCUCUACAGACCCGAGUGCCCACCGAAGAACCUGGUGAAGCCGAUCAGAAAGGUUGAUGGGUGCAGAUCCUUUGAAAGCAGGCCUUAAGGGCAUGCAGUAUAAUGACCUCCAUCCUCGGCAAUGCAUCUUGAAACCUGUUAAGAUAUCCUCUGUCACCGAUCCAUAAAUCCAACCAAUCUGAGAAAAAGAAGAUUGAAACCAAACAUCUGAAUUAGUAGUCCAUUAAGUGGGUGAAAUGCCUGAGUACUGUUGAAGAAAAUUGCAGUAAAGUGAACGAAUGCCACUAGAGCAAGAAUAAAUGCUCCACCUCUUUUCCCCAUUCGGUCUUCUCUUCGUAGCCACAGCUUAUGACAUGAAUUGCUUCCUUGAUAAGGGUUGAAGGAUUGGCGGAAUCAGGAACUCCUCCAUUUUCCAUUAGUGUGGACUCGAUGAAGACAGAAGAUAAGCCAAAAGUCUUCUCAAAACUCAUCUGCGAGAUCAGCAUUGACCUCUCAUAGUCAUCAUAAUCUGCAGGAGAAACCCAAACAUAAAAUAUUAAUUGAGAACCUGUUAAUUAUUAGCGUAACUUUAAUAGCUUAGAAAUUCGAACUUACUAUCAAUCUCCUUGAGGUUAAAGAUAGCAGCAUCUAGUUCUUCACGUUUUGCAUCUCGGUAAGCCUCUGAGAGAUCUUUACCGGGCUUCUUAGAGGGGCAGCAGCAGGAGCAGCAGCCACACCAUGAGCAAGAUGAGGAAGUCUUGGGUAAGGUGGGCAUUGUAGGAGGUCCAUAGCCAUAAAGUGCUUGUCUAUUGAACAUACAACCUGUACCCACAUACAUAGGUCCUUGGAUUCCAUCCAGUCCUUUCAUGUUAACCUGAGAUUAAAAUCCAAAAAUAGUUGGGAAUGAGAAUGCUCGAAAUUCAGGUAUUCGCACAGUUAUUAAGAUAUUAUUUUGCUGCUGAAUUCUCAAAAAUUGAACUUAUACAUAGAAUGAUGGAAUUUAUACUCAGCAUGACAAUUAGUCAACAUUUGCUGAGGAGAUUGAACUUAUGAACUAGAUUAAGCUUACGUCGAAGAAAACUAUGUUGCGAUUGGCAUAUCUAUCACUCUUAUCAAUGCCAUCAAAUCUCUGAGGGAACUGCACAUAGCAUACGUCUCGACCAACUUGAGGGUCCAUCAUGAAGCACAUUGCCUCUCGAACUGCCUUGCUAUUGUUAACAUAGUGGUCACAAUCGAGAUUGAGGAUGUAAGGAGCAUUAGUGAGAACUGCAGAUACCCUCACCUGUACGAACCCAUUCAUUGCAGUCUUAAUAUGACAUUAAAUCGUGUUCUGUACACUAGUAAUCUUAAACCGUGUGCACAUACCAGAGCAUUUUCUGCACCAGCUUUUUUGUGGUGUUGGUAGCCAGGCCUUUUCUCUCUGGAAACAUAUACCAGUCGAGGAAGUUCAUUUCCCUCAAUGUCACAGGCACCGCUGUGUCCAAGGAAAACCUGAAAAGGGCAAAACAGCACUUGUGUCAGAAUUUAACCUAAGUGCAGUUCUUUGUGAUGUACAUAUGAAUGCACAGAGACCGAUAUCUGAUGCACGCUUAAGUGAUCUAUUGAAAGGAUGCAAGAAACAGUUUAGGCCCUACAUAGAGUUACCAAGCUUUCUGAAAAUACCCAGAACUUUACAGAUUCGAAUAUUUCUAAAACAAAUCUACAACAUGUUUCCAUUGUUUCUAGAAACAGCGCCUAAAUAACCACCAGUCGAUUGUCUUAAACUUCAAGUCUAUAAUAGAGGCAUUAAAAUAUCUAAUAGAGGCAGUUUCCUACUGUUCUGUAGUUAGUCGUAAAUGUUUUGAUUCUGAUUUGUAGGGGUUGGUUGCUGACCUGUAGGGAUAGACUAUUCUCCCAAGAUAAGUAGUUAGGCUGCGUGUAUAUAAGAAUGUAUUGAUCGGUUGUUUAUACAGAAACAUAAAAAAUAUUUUUCUACAGCUUAAAUAACACAUAGUGGCAGCAGUCAAAUUUGGUGAUUUCUUUGUCUACCCUUCCAAGUAAUCAGAUAUCAGAUUGCUCAAAAUAACAAAAUUCUUAUUUGAUUAAUAGUAUAUAUAAUAAACAGAUAACUAAAGCAAAAGAUAGAUGGUUUAACCUGAAUCAUGCCAGGAUGGUCACGUGUGUUAUUUCCUGGCCAAGAUGUUCCAUCUUGCAUUGUCCAUCCUUCUUCAGGUGUUUUUUGAGCCUUUGCUACCAAAGCAUUAAUUCUGACUUUGUACUCUUCAUAAUCUCUCUGUAACAAAAAGAAAACAUAAGAUAUAAUAAGGCUGCUGUGCAAAUUUUUAAUACAUUACUUAUUCACAAGCAUUCAACACUUUGUGUCUAGAUUUAGCCUCAAAUACUAACUUUCAUGGCCCUGCGUUCUUUUACAAAAGAAGGUUGAAUUUUGUCCUUCAAGUAAUCAAUCUUCUGUGAGAAGUAGAACUCAGGUGCCCGGGGUUCAAUUGAGUACUUCUUGCAGAAUGGAACCCAUUUCCUAGCGAAGUCAGCUGUUUGUACUAGAGUUUCAAAUGUAAGCAUGGCAGCACCAUCAUCAGAUACAUAGCAGGAGACUUUGUCCACAGGGUAGUCCAAAGCAAGGAUGGAAAGCACCGUAUUGGCAGUGAUCAAUGGAGGUUCCUUCAACGGGUCAACUGUACUCACAAAGAAAUCCACGGCAGCAAGCUCGGAGGGUUCACCCUCUCUUUCAAACCUGGCGUGCCAAACAAAUGGAACCAUUUUAUCUACGCACUAAGCAUGAAAACAGACAGGUAUAUACAGAGAUAAUAUUUGCUUUAUUACUAAGUAUUGAUAGCUCCAAUAUUCGCUUUAUUACUAACAACUGAUAGCUCUCUCACGGUCCGCUGAAAGCAAUGUGCGGAAGUUUUGCAUUCAAGAGAGAUGUACCUUGCAGAAAGCCUGUCGAUGUAUGUUUCCCUAUCAACGGGAGACCAUUUGGGGAACUGAUCCAACACCCAAGAAAAAGCAAACCAGAUCUCACAAAUGACCGAAGUGAGCCAUAGACCGAGAGCACUGUCUACAGGAUGUGUCACUCGGUAAUGGAAGAAAAGCCCCAGAAUGAUUAGUCGCACUAUAAUCACAGUUCUGUAAGGUCCAAGUUUGCUUCUUGGAACCGGAAUAAGAGUAGAAAGUGGCAGUGCAGCCUCCGGGGACCUGCAAAAGCAAACAUGAAUCUAAGUGAUACAUGCUUUAUUAUAAAACCAUAGCAAGUCAGAUUGCAGUAGAAGAUGAUGAGAACAUAGAAAAACAGGUAUUAACACUAAUUUGAUUCCAGUUGGCAUUGCAGCCAUAUACUCACUGCUGAUUCUCUUCCAUCUGCUGCGCAGGUGGAACUUCAGCCUCUUUUUCAGCCUUUGCCGCAGUCUUUUUCUUCUUGUUCUUUUUGUCCUUCCAACUCUCUACUCUAUUUUUCCAAAUUGGAUUCCCCGAUUCGUCAUUGUAUUCUUCAUGAAAAACACCAGAUUAGACAAUAAUCGAUAAUGAUUUAUUAAAGCUUGUAGAAGUGUGACAAAUAUGAUGCAACAUAUCGGAGAAACUUACCGCUGUCCACCGUAGAUACAUUACUUAUAUGUCUUGCAUGAAUUCCAGUGUUCUGUAUAAACCAAGAUACAUGGUGGAAUUAAUGCCGUCAACAUGAUUAUAUCAUGAGACUUUGCACAUAAACAGCUAGCAAGAAUUAGGGAGCCAAUAUGAAGACAAUCAUACCUCGGAAUUACUGAGUUGAGCUGCCAUCGUGGAUCGAUUGCCAGGUUCUUUAGUUCCAACAUCAUCCAACAAGUUCUCUGGAGAUUUUAAAGCAAUGCAAUUAGCAUAUUGAACGACAAAGGGCCACAAAUUAACCGGAAAAAGAAAAUCAUAUUACAGGAAACUGAGAUCAACCCUGUCAAAAUGGAAGGACCGUCGCUAACUGUGUUCAGGACUCACAAUCAAUUCCAAGGUGUAUUAGUAUUCUCUUGCUUUUCUCUCAUUAUUCACAAGAUUCACUAGAGCAGUGAGAAAAUUGAGAAUAAAAAUCUUAGACAAUGAUCCCUACUAAGUGCUUAAGAAAUUCUUCUUUCUCUAUUGCCAAUCAUCCAAAUUCCAAGACGUUCAUAAGUUAGUCUACAACUUCACCAAUUUAUCUUUAACAAAGCAUCAUUGAAUACUACAGUGAAAAAGAAUGAAUCUACUAAUAAAUCAAGUAACAUCAGCAAUAAGCAAAUGAGUAACUCACAUUCUAGUACGCAAAAAUCAAACCUUGUAAAGCCGAAACUGAAACGUUUGCAAACUAGAGAGACUUACCAUCAUAAGGAGAGGCACAGCGCAAGCAAGCUUUGCGGCCUUCCUUGAUCUCAUCAUCGAAACAAGAUUUGCAAAUGGGGAAAUUACACUCACUGCAAGCUACAAACACUUCCCCGUUAGCAGUAAAACCCACUUGAUCACCGCAAGUGUUGCAUACAGGAGCCCCAGAUUGCAUCAUCCUGAAUACACUUCUCCAAACUACCCACCCAAUACAAGAACCCCUGUUUGGGUGUCGUUUUUAUAAGAAAGACACUAACCAAAGCUAGGGCGUUUCGGAGUUUGUUCUGAAAACAAGGCGAUGGCAUUUUUUUUUUAAUGCUAAUAAGAGGGCGGUGGUUGGAGAGUUGAGGUGUUGGUGUCAAUGUUUUGCAGGCAAGGAGAGAUGAGAAGCAAUGUCUCUGUUGCAUUCUCCUCUGAAAAGAUUUGAAAUUUUUGCGGGAAGUUGAAGGAAGGUUUCGGUUGAGCAGGGUACAUCUUUAACUGACAUUUCUUCUCUAUCAAGUCCCCUGUACAGAGGGAUAGCAAUUUUGCCCACAAAUCUGUAGUUACCCGCCUUACAAACCUCUCUACUAAACGGUAAUUUUACGGAUAAUGGAUGGUUUUAGUAAUAUAAAUUAAAAUGAUGCAGAUAGCAGACGAAUUUAAUUAAUAUAUAUAUAUAUGACAUUUCUUUAUCUUUUAAAUUGUGUAAUUUUUGACAUUUUAAUCAAGAAAAUAUAAGGUAAAAUUAACAAUAGUUAGACCUAACUAAAAGUUUGAUAACGAGCUGAUCAGUUAAUCAAUUGGGCUUGGAAAAGUACUAAAGUUAUUUUUUCUGUUUUUACGGUAUUGAUUAAAAUGUCAGUGUCGCUGAUUGUCCAAGCAUUGCAUAUUGAUACUGUUUUGUACAGGUUGCUGUAAAGCUUAGCACGUACCUAAGUUAAUUACUAGCUAUUUGCUUUUGGUUUCGUUUGUUUAUUAUAAGAAGGGAUGGUAUACUAUUGAAAAGGAACUGGAUUUUGUGCUAAUGUUUAAAAUCUCAAUCUAAAAUAUCGGUAAUUUUGUCUCAAUCUAAUUAAAGUUAAAUUAAUUCACUUGUGUGUGUGUAUCCAAUAAUUUAUAUUUUUAAGUUGGGCACCCGCAAUAAAUUUAUUGGAUGCCAGUGCAAAUUUGAUAAUUGUUCAAAUUCGUAAUAUACGGGUUUUUCAAAGAAAAAGAAAAUUUGAAUCCUGCUGUGUCCGCAGUGAAGGUUUAGUAAUUUAAAUUUUUUUUGACGGUGCAAGCCGCACCUUACCCUACCCAUUGCAUCUCUACUACACCGAAUAAAACUGUGCAACACAGCACAAAACGAAAAACAAAAAUAAGUAAAGAUAGGGCCUCAUUUAAAAAUAAAGUAAAUUAACAUUUUAUUAAAUUUCCUGUGAAAAUAUCAUUGUUUUGUCAAGGAAGUGUCUCUAUUACAGCUUUUCUUGUCUCUAUUAACAUUUUGUCAAUUUUAUCUGAAUAAAUAUUGUUCAAACAAAAUCUGCCUUCCUUUCGGUGUUCUUCAAUUAAAUCGCCAGAUGCCUAAAUGAGGAAUGGGGAUAUCCGAAUAGAAUUUGUAUAAUUCACCAAAAAAGAAAAAAAAAAGGACUGUAUCUUUUUAGCUCUCUUUCAAGUAAUUACUUAAGGCUCUUUCACUAAUAAAUUGACACAGAACUUGCAAAAAAUUCCAAAAUUUGUUAGAGAUCAGACACAGAUCGGGCGAAUCACUAGUUAAGUGAUUCGAUUAUAUUAAUAAUUUCAAGAAACAAAAGAUAUUCAUGGGCGUUAAUAGACCGAAUCAUGUUACAUGGCAAAGAUAUAUUACUGGACCAACAGCGAGGCUAUCUAACACAGUUGGUCAGGGACACCUAUGUGCAGUGCAGCCACCUUAAGAUCAUCGAGGUGUAUUUCUCAAUAACAGUAAAACUCCAAUAAAAGCAAUACAGGUUUCUGGGCCAUGCACUCCAGGAAUAUGAAUUUUUCAGUCAGAUAACGGCGGCUUCGAUCUAUGAAAUUGAAUAGACCUUUACUACUUUGGAAGUGUCACAGACAACAAGGUUUUCAGAUUCAGUAGGGGUUGUGCAGAGCCAAUUAACCUGCCGUAGUGAGAGACAGAAAUAAAAACUUAAAAAAAAAAAAAAUAAUAAUAAUAAUAAUAAUAAAGAAAAAUUGACAAGUACAAAACCCGACCACAAGACUUCCACCAAAGCUUACCUUUUUGUUCAAAUUGAUGUUCUUAAUUAGAAGAUCAUUGUUGAUACUAGUCUGCACCCCCUGAAAUCUGGAGCAAUCCCAGACCUUUACCAACUUAUCAUUACCACCUGAGAUUAAAUACUUUCCCCUCUCCCCAAACAUUGAAAAUGCCACACAAGAAGCAGCAGCAGUAUGGCCACCAACAGAAUAAUCUAGAUGCAGCCUCUUUCCACCACUUUGAUCUAGAAUUUCCAUUUCUGCAUCCCAAAUAUUAACUUUUGAUGUGGAUUGAGAGCCCUUCAGCGGUUUUGUGGUACUUUUUGACCUACUUAUAUUAAGUUCUGAUUCAAUAUUGAUCACAUCAACAACACCAUCACCCUUAGCAACGACACAUAUUUUGUUUGUUUUGUCUAACAUAUCAGCAUCUGGAAUUGCUAUUGCAUGCACAAAAGCAGGGUUAUAGCAUUGCCCAGCAUUACCAUUGUUUUCAGGUAAGCCUGCACCAACCAAAACAUGUGAAUAAAAAUCUAAAAGACCAGUAGAAACAUAACACCAAUUUAAACUCCCUUUUAGUUUUUAGGGCCAUCAGGAUUGACUUCAUGUUAGCACUCCUUACGGUUUAAGAUGUAUGUUUUUCAAAAACCCACCAAGGGAGAGGCAACACCAAUCAUACCUUUUAAAAGACAUAAAACUUGUGGACAUAUAUCAUGAAAUAUUACAAGGCAAACAAAAUUAAGACUCGUAUCAUACCAAAAUUCACAAUCUUGUUUGGACGCCCUUUGGAGAAGUCCCACAUGACAAGCUUUGAAUCCAGACCUCCAGAAAUGACUGUCAGGAUUACCCAAAAAGGGGAAAAAAAGAAGAAGAAAAAAAACAGACACCAGAGUAUUUAAGAUGCAUGUUUGAUUGAUUAUGCUGAAGUACAAGAUGAAAAGUCAUCUUCUUAGUGACUUGGUCUAACAGACCCAACUUAUAGCAGAAUUGUACAAAUUUCACACUUAAGCAAUACAGUUCCAAACAUCAACCAGAACCAUAAACUUGAAAAAUAUUACCUUCCCAAGGUUUCCAGGGUAUGAAUUGCACACUGCUACAGAUCUAUGAUGCAUAGUUAAGUUGACGGAAUUAUGAUUAAAAGCCUACAAGUAAGAGAAAUUAAGUAAAUAAUAACCCCCCCCCCCCCCAAAAAAAAAAGGCUCUAAACUAAUUUCGAGAUAGUUUCAUACAACAUUUAUAUGAAUUUUUCUGGAAGAAAGAAAACUGUCAUCACAUCAGAUACACAGCAGAGAUAUUUAUGAGAAACCAAGCCCAUGUUGCAUGCUUACAAGGUGCAUGUUAAAGGACAACGAUAAGGUAAGCUUGUCAUAUAUGAGGUAGGAUACACUUGAAUGGCCAGCUCUCAGUGAUUUAUAAAGGCAAUGCUGGCGAAUAUCAAUGAUCUGCCACAUGAAUGAUUAUAAGCAAUUAUUCAGAAACAAAAGCAUUACUGAAAAAAUAUAAACAUUUUUUUCCCUAGUUUCAGGCAACAGGAAAUAAAAGAUGCUGUUAAGCAUUACGAUGUUGAAUUCUUUGUAAGAGCCAGUGAGAUAGAGAAAAAGAGACAUCCAAACCAAAACUAGAAAUAACAUAACAAACAAUAUUUGCAGUUAUGAAUUAUCAAUAAUAUGACUGCGAGAAAUCUCAAUACCUUAACAUCACCACCAUCAUCUGCGCAAGCAAGAAAAGAUGACUUAGGGUUGCACACGAUCUGCACUUGUCAAACAAGCUUCACUUUAGACAGCUUGCGAUGUAUCAUCACUAUUAGAUACAACCAUCAAGAUCUCACAAUUUGGGCAUAUGCUAGAACAAUAAGCCAAUCAACUCCAAUAAAAAGGCAGAUAAACACAAAGAGUAACACAGUUCAAAAAUCUAACUAUAUAUUAUCCACGUUACCUGAUUUAUCUCCUCUUUGUUAUAGUUGUAGCUCUCUAAUGGCCUCCACGAUGCAGGCUUGAAAUGCAUGGAGAAUGAUAGGUUAGUGCAGAAGAGAAACAGGGAUUACCGUUGAGGAAUUAUGCUUAGAACAAAAGAGGGUUACCAUAUGCACAUCAAAAGAUUUGACUUCCUUUCCCGAGGAAACGUAGAUAAUGUCUUCAUUCCCUGCAUUCGACAAUGAUCAUUAACAAGAAAUAUGAGUCAGCAGCUUUCAGAAGUUGCAUACAAUCAUUCAAGUCUAAACAUUUGCAACUAGCUCUUUUAUGCUCGUUAGAGAUUCAAGUGCUAACUAACCAGGAGCCUUUCUAAGAAGUAGUCUCAAGUGCUUUUCAAAAAGAAAGGUGCUUUUACUCAAACAAACACACACACACACAAUACGGAAACACUCGCAAGGUACAGUAAGAUACAAAAGUCGCUAACAGAGCAAAGCCAAAGUAUUGAAGAAAAUCACCUGACUUGAAACAAAGUGAAGUAACAGGUCCAUUUCCAACAUCAGUGACAAGCUGCACGUCUUUGCUUCUCAAAUCAAACCAGCAAAUGCAACCAUCCUAUUUUUCAUUAAUUAAUGAACCAAUUAAUAUGAGUUCAUUAUUAUAGUAAAUAGAAAUCGAAACCGUAAAGUUCGAUGAAUAUAAACUAGUACCUCCCCAGAAGUGGCAACAAAGCCAGGGCGGUCACGUGAGGCUAUGCAGCACGUGGCAGUGGCCUUGUGACCUCUCAACCGUCGUGGCUUCGCCUCUGCGUCGGUCAUACUCGUACCGACCCGUCGGCCCUCCCAAAGGCUUGUCGGUCGGGGCAGUGUUGUUCUUCUGUUUUCUUAUUGGGUUUGGGCCUCGUUUCCUCAGCCUCCGUAGCCCAAGUGUUGAUGAUUCAGGCCAUAAGCCCAUAACUAAAACUUGCUUCGGUUUAAAAGAAUCAUUAAAGCAACGUCGCCCGACUGAUGGUGUUGAUUAAGUUUCAUUGGAUCUAGUAGGAAUCACAAAAUCUUUCAUGGGUAAUUUCGAUUAACAAUAACUAUAAUAUUUAUGGAUAUUGGGUUUGGGUUGGAUGAGGAAGGGAGUACAAAAUCAAGCCACAUCUCAACAAACAUUUAGAGUUUGGAAUUAUGUAUUAGUGUGUACUAGGAAAUUGGGGAAUAGGAUGAGAAUAGGUAAAUUGGUCCUGACUUGAGGAUUUUACAUACUAAAUUUAUUAAAAAAAUUGAAUGGGGAAUGAGGGCUAAAUUUUUAAUUUGGUGAAGAAUGGAGGAGAAUUUAGUCUGCUCCAAUGUCGUCCCUAUAUCAAUCCUAUAGGAAAUAAGUACACAUGUAUUAUAUAAUAAAAAUAAGGGUAAUUACUCAAAGUGGUCUCCAAAUACGAGAAAUACCUAGGGCUUCCCUCAUUGAUCGGCAGAAAUGAUGAGUUUCUUUAACGAUGUUAAACUUAAGGUGCUGUAUAAAAUUUCAAGCUGGAAUCAUAAGAUGUUUUCAAUUGGGGGUAGAAAAGUCUUUAUCAAAGCAGCAGCUCAAACAAUCCCACCUUAUGCAAUGAGCAUUUUUAAGCUUCCAAGGGGUUUGUGUGAUGGCAUUUAAAGGGCUAUAGUGAGAUUUUGGUGGGGAUCAAAAGAUUAUAAGUAGGACAUUCAUUGGACAAGGUGGGAAAAGCUCAGCCACGCAAAAAGUAGGGGUGGGAUGGGGUUUAGAGAUUUUACUUGUUUUAAUCAAGCUCUCGUGGCCAAACAAUGGUGGAGGCUUCUUCAGUUUCCUAGUUCUCUAGUCUCAAAAGUUUUGCAGGCUCGGUAUUACAGAAGCUUCAGCUUCCUAAGUGCAAGUGUAGGCUCCAAUCCGUCAUUCAUUUGGAGGAGUAUCUUAUGGGGCAGAGAAGUAAUUAAAAGAGGCUUUAGAUGGCGUGUAGGCGAUGGCAGAAAGAUCUCAGUGUACAAAGAUAACUGGUUGCCAAUGCCAGAUACCUUCAAGCCGUUUUCUCCUCUAAUUUUGCUUGAGGACUCAGUUGUGGUAGACUUGAUAAAUGAGGAAAAACUGUGGGAUGAAGGAAAGUUGGUUGAACCAUCACUUCAUGCAGGAUGAUAUAGCCGUGAUCCUUAAGAUUCCAUUACCAAAAGAUCAGGCCGAUGAUGAACCUAUGUGGCACUUUGACAAAAGGGGGGAAUACUCAGUAAAAAGUGGGUAUCAGCUUGCACUCAAAAUCAAGUUUCCAGAAGCUUCCAGUAGCUAACAGAUCAGCAUAAACCAUUGGAAUGUUCUUUGGACUCUUGAGCUGCCUAAAAAACUCAAAAUCUUCAUAUGGAGAGCUGUAAAAGAUCUCUUACCCACUGUAGAAAAACUAUGGACAAUGAAAAUGCUAUAGGAACCAAUAUGUCAAAGGUGCAAGAGGAGAGCUGAAACUAUCAUUCAUGCUCUUUUGGACUGUAAAGCAGCAAAAAAAGUAUGGUCCCAAGGCCUAUCCCCCCCCCCCCCCCCCCCCAAAUUUUAAUGUUCAAUCUUGGGACAUGCUCAGUAUAUUCCAAGAUUUGGCUAGAAGACUAACCAAAACUGAGCUUGAACUUUAGGUAGCUUAUUGCUGGGUAGUGUGGUUCUCAAGAAACAAGUUCAUUUUUUAAGAUAAAAUGAUGGAGCCAGGGGUUGCAGCAUCAAAAGCUAAAUCAAUCUUGGCUGCUUACCAGAGAGUAAAGGCACCAGACAACUCUCACAUUGAUAAUUCCACAAAGGAGAAGCUGCAACAUUGGUCCCCUCCUCCUGAAAACUGCCUUAAGGUCAAUGUGGAUGCAGUCAUAAAUAGCAAUGAUCAAAUGGUAGGGCUGGGAGCUGUGAUAAGAAAUUCAAAGGCCAAUGUGGUUGCUGCUGGGGUUCAACAGACCUACAUAAAAGGGGGUGUUAGUUAUGUAGAGGUUGAGGUUGUUCAAUGGGGUAUCCAGGUGUCAAGAAAAGCAAACAUAACCUCGCUGAUUGUAGAAACUGACUACUUGGAGGUGGUAGAGUUGAUAAACAACACAAAGAGUAGCAUAACAUAAAUCUUCUGGGUAAUUGCUGAGAUUCAAAAGCAGAGCAAAGAAUUUUAAAAAUGUACAAUCCAAUAUGUUCUCAGGAACUGUAAUGCUCAUGCCCAUAAUUUAGCCAAAUUUUGCUUAGGGGGAAAAACUAGUGCUGUCUGGUUAGACUCAAUACCAGUAUAAAUUCAAUAUGUAUUUAAUGUGUUGUGAAGUAAUGAAAGGUUUACUUUCCAUUCAAAAAAUAAGGGUAAUUACUCUUUUUCUACAUUAAGUUAAAUAACAACUAUGUGCAACAAGUAUGGUACCCUAACACUUUACAGCUAAAGAAUUAUAAAAUAUUAAGUUUUACUACCCUUUUUUUUGUUGUUAAGACUAUUGGUUGACAAUUUGUUGACCUUUAAAAUAUUAAUUUUACCCUUGCUUUGAAAAAUGCAAAUCAUAUUAAUGAGUUUAUAAAAUAUCAAUACAAGGACACUUUUGCCCCUAUUAUAUCAGCAUGGUGCAACAGUUAACUAACAAUAACAAUGGAAAGUAAUAAAAUGUAAGGUUUUGUAAUUAUUUAGUAUUAAAGUUUUAGAGAUGAUACUUGUUGUACUCAGAUGUUAUUUUUCAAUAAGUUAAUUUGUAAAAAGAUAGUAAUCUUAAAAAUAAUUAUAUAUGUUUAUAAGAAAUAAACAUAAUUUUUUUUUUUUUUUUGAGUGAAACUAGAUGAAAAGAGAUAAAUUUACUUAACUUAAAAGUACACUAGUUAGGGGAAUGUAAUGAAUCUUACUUCUCAAUAGACAAAGCACUGACUGAAAAAUCCUAUGACAAAUGGUCAAAAAGAGGAAAAAAAAUGCAUGACAAGAACACUAAUUGAAGUAAUACAAGGCACAUUCAAAUUAAAGAUUCUACAACAGAAAUAUCGAAUAAAAUUCUUAAGAAACCACUUUCUUUUUCACCGGGAACUGGUUUCUUAAUUCAUACGCAUUCAGUUGCUUGUGAAUAUUGUUGAUGAAGUAUUGUCAAUUUAUUUUAUUCCCUCUACGAAAAUGAAAAUCAAUUUCGUUGGCAUAAGGAUCAAUUAACAUAUGGAUUCGUCUUUAAAAAAGAAAGUAAACACAUAGAUUCCAAAGUAGGAAACAAAUGAGUAAAGCAUAUAUACUAGACGCCAAAAAUCUUGACUUGAUCGUCCCUCUUUUCAACUAAUAUAGAUCGUAUAAUAUAAUGUAACAUAAUAUCUACCCAGAGCUUUUAGAACCAAGAAGGUCAAAAAGUAGAAAUUACAGUGCUUGCAUGUGAACCAAGAUUUUGGACUGACAUAAGUUGGCAGGACAUGUAAAAGCUUGUUUUGAGUAGUGACAGUACAGUGUCGUAUCUUUUGAACUCUAGCAACAAUUUUUCUCCAAAUUAGAAGAGCAUUGCAGCAGGUGAUGCCUGAUGCAGAGAGCUCUUGCAGUUAACAAUGGCAUAUGAUAAAUUUUUGCACCUCUCUGUCCGAGGAAAUUAAAAAGUGGAUGAGAUCUCUGAUAAAAGUUUAAAUUACCCACGUAAGUAAAAGUAAAUUUCUCAAUGGUGUGUGUGUGAAAAGUUCAUAUUUUUGGGACCGUAGCGAUCGAAGACAGAACUGUCUUGAAAGAGAUGCAUCAAAUGAAUUUCAAAGUGAAUCCGUGAAUGGGAAUGGGGUUGAUAACCGGCUCGUACAAAAAAGGCCAAAAGUUAACUCUGUAAGAGUACAAUAAAGCUUUUUAUCAAGGUUUGAUCAGAAUUCUGGUUUAAUUUAAGUGGCUUGCUGUUGUUAAUCAGUUAUGUGACUGAGAUGCUUGCUGAGAAAUAAUCAAAAUUCUUAUGAUUUACUUAAUUGUCACGUUAAUUAAUAGUUGAAUGUACGUGAAAAACAUAUUUAUUGUAUAUAUAUUAGACUACUAGCUAUUUGAUACUUUGUCUAAUUACCUCGUCGAGAAGCUCCUUUGAUGACCAAGCAAAUAGUUUGCACUAAUAAUUCAAGAAGUUUAAAAUGUGUAUGUACUGGCAUGAUUAAGAAACUUCUAGGCAGUUUCGAGAACAUUGUCAGCCAGAAUUCUAGUGAAAUGAUACAUAAAACUGCAGAAGGAUUCAAAGUUAAAAAUUAAAUAUUCUUAAAACAAAGAACAUCUGGGCCUCUUGAAAAAUUCAUUCUUGUGUAGAAAGAAAAUACAAUAAGCAUGAGGGCUUUAAUAGAGUAGAACAGAUUUGCUAGCUUAUGACCGAUCUCUCAAAGUGCAAUAAUGCGAGAAAUGUAUAAAAUAAUUGUUUAUUUUCCCGAAUUCAACUAGCUUAGGUUUCUGGGCAUAAUUUCUAAGUACCAAUAUUUUAUACUUGACAUCAAGAUCAAGCUAAAAUUUUUAGAUUUUUAAAGCCUUGGUUAUCUCCAUUAUUUCAGAACACUAGUUUUCGUUAUCGUAACCAUUACACCAUGACAGCACGGCAUCAAAAUAUUUCAAAUUCUAGAGAAAAACAAUAGAGGAGGUGAAAGAAAGUUAACGAAGUUGAUUAAUCAUUCGUAAUUCAUUAGAGUUGAUUAAAACCUACUACAGAUCAUGAUUAAUGUCAUGGCAUCUCACGAAAACUAAACCCAGCUAAAGAGACAACAUUUAGACGACAAAUUAGAGUUAAUUUUUGGAAAACUUCCUAUAGCUAAUUCAGCUUCUUAGUUGAUCACGGGGACCCGCAUCACAACGUAUGCAUCGAAUCGAUCAUCUAUCUGACCGUACAGGCAACAGCAUAAGCCCAUGACUUGAGAUGCUCUUUCAUGGCCAUGUUAUCAUCCAGUGGAGGCAUCUUCAUUUUCAUACAAAGAUGAUAUUCACUUCCAAGAACUUGGUUAUGCUGCCGGCUCGUCGUCUCUUCGUCAUCAUCAAAAAACCCAAAAUCUAACUCCGAAUGAUGGUCAAGCUCUCCAAGAAUCUUUCUUAAGCUUCUUCUUUUUCUUAUUCUUCUUGUUCUUCUUCUGCUUCUACCACUGGCACUGGUACUAGAACUAGUACUAGUCUUCCUCCUCUCUUCUGCUGGCUUUGCAAAUUCCUCCAUCUCCUUGCCGACGAAUUCUCCGUAUCUUGGAACCAAAUUCUCUGCACUGGGAGACUCCUUUCCCUCUUCAACUUGGUUCACAGGCUUUGAUGCUGCUUCUUUGACUGCAUCCUCACCAACUGCAUGAGAAGAUUGCUCAGUUCUUGAGGAAGAAACAACAAUAUUAGAGUAGAACCAAAGAGAGUGUAAGCUGUCUAUGAUAUCUGAACAAUCCAUGAGAGAUAAAAACCGGAGAGAAGCAUGAGUAGAAAAAACAGAAACACACUACUCCAGAGUCUAGAUUGGACUGUGUAAGAAUUACGUUAUUUAUAAAAUAAGAAGAGAGACAAAGAGAAAAGGCUUUGUAUUUUGCAACAGUUUUUUUGUGGACGGACUCUAUUUCUAUUGACAGGAUAAAUAUUAGCACAAUUUUCUCCUCCUUUUGUUUUCCAAUUGACCAAAGUUAACCUCUUUAUUUUGUUAGAUUCCGAAUUGCAUCGGAGGGUAUUUUGGUCUUCAUGGAAAGGCCAGGAGCAUAGUCAUUAGUCAGGGGGCGGCGUGAGAACUGGCCACUGAAGUCGUAAUUGGUAAUGAAUUACUUUGGGGAGAGAAAUAACGGGUUACCCAACGGUCGACAAAAACGUGGAAAGUGAUAAUAAUUCUCCGAUGAUUAUAGAAAACAAGAAAAUCAUGGGUUUGCAGCGCAAACGAACUUCAUGAGGGAAAUUGUUAAUAGCCAUUAGCUAGCUUUAAUUACUAUGUUUGUUUCAACCUAUGCAUAUGUAUUAAUCAUUGGUGAGUUCAGAGGCAUUUAUUCAUAACUAAUCUAUGACAGUCAAAAAAUUGGCUUGAAUUUCGUUUCCAUGCAUGCAUAAUUUAUGCUAUAUGGUAUAAAAAAAGUAUAAACUUCAAGUGCAGUGGUCGACCUUUCUAGAGUGUCGGCAAAUAAUGUCCCUGUAUUCUCUUUGUAUAAAUUUAAUUGACUUCGUUUAUAAUAACAUAAUUCUUUGGGUACUUCUGCUCCCCAUUUACAAUGUGAUAGGUCAAUACGUUUUAUAUCCACACACACUGUUGUCUUAUUAAUAUUGAUCAUUGAAUAUUUCUGUAGUUAACAGUAAAACAAUUUAUUUCCAUGACCACCUAUUUUCAUAGCUUAACUGUUCAUAGUUCACAUAUCCAUGUGAGCCAGCCAUUGUGUGUUUUCUUUUGUCUAUGUUUUACCCUGUGCUUUCAUUCCACCGGUUAAAAGUAUGGGUCCAGCUAUCCUGCCUACGUGGUUACUGCUAACCCCACUAUUUUGUCAUUUUCUGAAUUUUGCCGCUAGAUUGGAAGCACCACAAUCCAACAGAUGUAAAUGCACAGGGGUACCGCACCCGAAUCUGCGUCUCGUCUGCGAAGCGCAUCGCACACGCCCCAUCACCAAUGCCAAUGAGAUCGAUAGAGCAUGCGACGCCCUCCGCCAUACCACGAGUUAUAUUACUCCUCUCAAAAAAAUUGUUUGGUGUCUCCUUUCGCUCAUAUGUGUGAAUGAGAAAGAAAAUUUGAGAGUAAACCUCUAUUAAAGAAUUUUUUCUUUUUUUAUUUAGUGUAUUAAAUCAUCUAAUAUCCGAAAACUACAUUGGAUCCCGACUAAUUUAUAUUCGAGUUGGGUAUAACUACUAGGACGGCAAAGCCAAGCUUCCUCAAUAAGUAUUUAACGCAACUGCAUUCCCAAGCCUCGAACUGAGAAACUUCGUUAAAUUAAAACAGUCUCAUACCAACUGAUCUAUGCACUUAUUGGUUAACCGAGGACCUUGUCAUUUUCUCCCUUUUUUAUUCUAAUACGUUAAACAUUUAUAUUAGCGAGAUUUUUGGAAGGACACGUAAUUAAAUUUCCUCACUGAACCAUCUUAUUGCAACAAAUUACCUCGUUAUAUUUUUCAUAAAUUUAUAACCAUUUCCAACAUUUUCUUUACCCUUUAGUUGUUUCCAAUGGUUUGCAGUAAUCCACACAAUUGUCGCAUCAAUUUUCCUUCUAGUUGUUACCAAGAAUUAACCUUUUAGUAGUACAUAUUCUAUUAUUCUCACAACUGUUUGUCUAGAGAGUUCACCCGCUAAUUACCUAUUUGCAGGUCAGAAAGUGGCUACUUAUGGCUUUUUGUUGGAAAUAACAUUUCGACAGAUCUCGAGAGAAUAAUUCUACUUUAACUAAAGAACACAGCCUUGAUUUACUUUAUCAUUAACAAUUCAGAUUCUUAGAUUUGUGAAUUAAUUGCAACGAAAACAAGCUAGAUGAUUCAGUUUACUUUUAUUUAUGAUUACAAAGGAUGAAAUUUUUUACAAAAACAUCUUGUCAAAAAAAUCAAAACUGUAAAUUACGAAACUUCAUCAUCUAACUGCAGACAAUGCAACAGUAUGAGCCCACCAUCUGAGAUUAUCUUUAAUGUCCAUUUCAUUAUUCAAAGCAGAAAUUUUCCAAUUAAUCAAUAAUGAAUUCUCUUUCCUUGUGGUAUCCAUAAUCUCCCAAGCUUCAGAGAGAUAAGGCCUUGAAACAGGAGAAUUAUCAACUGUGUCAUCUUUCUUCCCCAGUCUCUGCAAGCCAGGAACAAUCUCAACCAAUCUUGAAUCUUUAUUAUCUUCCUCUGUGAAAACAAAUCCAAGAUCCAUAAACCCUUUUAGCUCUUCAAAUUCCAAGUCUGACAAGCUCUUGCUCUCACUAUUCUUCUUCCUUCUCCUUGUUGAAGCAACAUGUACCCCUUUUUUCUUGGAAACAAAUUCUUGAACAUGAUAAUGAGCUUGAGCUUGUUUUGUCUCUCCAACUUCUUCCGUAACUGUAACUUCUUUGCCUGACAAAAUUGUUUGAAGCUUUGGUGGAGAAAGAACCGAGUCUGGAGAGAAAGAAAAAGAAUUAUUGAAGCUUGUUUCAGAGCUCAAUUGCGCACUCAUGGACCUUUUAUGGCUUGUAGGGACCCGCAAGAACUCUGCUUUUGAUGGCUUUUCUUCAUUUUGGUUAUGUCGGCUUGCUUCAAUUUUUGAACAAAUUGAUGAUCUUGAUUGCUUUUUCAAGAUUUCCAUCUCAAACCAGCAUGUAUCAAAUAGCUUCAGUAUUCUGUCGGAGCCCAUGUCAAUGGCGGCUUUGCAGAGAAAACUAGAAUCUGUAAUUUGUGUAUGAGAUGACCUCUGAACAUUCAGGCUUAAUAUAUAAGACUAGACUAAUGACAAAAUACCCCUCAGGUUGCGAGUUUAUUAACCCCCCCCCCCAAAAAAAAAAAAAACAACUCACGUUUUCCAUAGGUUCAGUAUGUAAUUAAUUAAACAUUGAUUUGGUCUUUGUUUUACUUUUAUUCCCCCACGACUCCGAGUAAGUUUGCUUUUCCUGGAAAGUAAAGUGAUUGGAACGUGUGUGGGUGUGUAAGUAUAUGAUGUGUCGUCCAAAAACGAAAAAGUAUGAUGUGGCUUUAAGUAGAAGCAAAGAGAUAUAUUAUUGCGCAUUUGCGUGUGGUGAAACAUGGAGGAGCACUGCUGUUGAUGUCACUGGAAAAAUCCAACCCACAUGAAUAUUAUGAUGAUGAUGAUCAUACAGGAUUAUGAUUGAUGAUUGCACAUCUUGUCUGAAAAAGUUUACAUAUUUUGGUGGUCACAUCGUCAUCUCUCGAUCGAAUUGCUGUUAGAUGAGUGCCCAUUAAUUCAACAAUCAUGCACCAAUAAACAUUGCAAUAAUUGUUUUCUUGCUUAAAGUUUACACUUGAGUCACUAUUAAUAUAAAAUGCAUAUAUAACCAUUGUUCACACGUCACUGACUCACUGUGCUUUUGUUGCAUUCACUUUCUCAGCGAAGGAAAAAUUAUGGAAUAUCAUAGUUUUUUUCGUAAAUAAAUAAAUAAGAAAAUUAAACAUAAUUUUAAUAUAUUUCAGUCGAUACUCAUAUAGUUUCCAUUCGACAAAACAUUCUCUUUGCAUGUCUAUGAAAAAGUUUUUAUUCUUAUGCCCAUUGUAAAAAUACAUUUUCAUAUAAUAAAAUUGUAAGGAUAUUAUUUUUUUAAUUUACCCAAAAAAAAGGUAUCAAAUAAUUCAUCCAUUAUGAUAGAUUUAUAUUUUGGUUUGAUUUUGGUUCAGUUUAAAAAAUUUAUGUGAGCUUCACUUUGAGAAGUGAUUUUGUGAAUGAUGGCCGGCUGUCUCUCUUUAGGACAGUUUUUUUAGUGACAAACUAAGAUGAGACAAUAUUGAAAGUAAAGAAAAUAAUCAUUAGAGGUGACACUGACGAUGGUCGAUAAUGAUGCUCCAAUGGUCAAGUUAGGUACGAGUUGGAGAAGAUGAAGGGUUUCAAAGAAACACUUGAACAAGAGAAAAUUUAAGUGUGGUGGGAGUGACAAAUCUUACAUUUCUUGUGGGACUAAUUGGAACUUAUAAAAGGAGUUUCCUUAAAGACAUCUUUAUGUCUUUUGGAUAACCGGAGAACAAUAUUUGGCUUUUUCCUCCUUAGUUGGGGGUUGUGGAGUAAUUUAAUUGUUCAUAUUGAGUCAUUUUUCUUUUAGGCUAUUUGGAGUGGACACUAUCCCUGCGGAUUGUCUCUGCUGACAAUAUAUCUCUAAGUCCGUUGGUUUAUUUCAAAUGAGUCAAUUGGGUUGAAAAUACUGCUAAUUUCAUAAAUAAUUAUUCAAGUUGUUGAUCAAUUAGUUCCCUUUCUUAUUUUCAGUGCACGUGACUGUUAGAGGGAUAUUUUGCAAUAAUCCUACUAGGGACCGUACGAUACUGAUGCAUAGUAAUUUUGGGAAAGGAUUUGUCUCCGUCUUAAUGGUCCUCUGUUGAAAUGUGAUAACUUUAAAUUAUUUUGAGAAAUAUUUUCUGCACUUGUUGUUAACGUAUGUAGCUCAUAUUGUUUUCUUAUGAUCUUCUCAUUUCACCCUUAUCCUUUCAAUUUCUUCUUCACACUUUGCAAGGACAUAUUGGGUAUGAAAAUUACUGUACACGUGUCACAAUCCAAUUAUAUGACCCAAAAUUUGCCUCCAACCAUGCGAACAGGGAAAUCUUAUUAUUUGCUACUAGAAAUUGAAACAAGUAAUUUUUUAUUACAUGUCAUUUCAAAGUCAACUGUCAAAACAAUAAUUUUCAAAUUGUAGGGGUAUUAUGGUGAAAAAAGUCACUAAAUUGAGUUAAUAUGCCGAUUCAGAUUCUAAAUUCAAAUCAUUUGAUGGCAAAUUAUGGGUUAGGUAUAAGAGCUGAAGUCAAACCCAUAAUAAAACGUUGAAUUGAAAACGUCCAUAUCUGCUUAACUUAGUCAUCACGCGUUUUAUUGGCUCCCCACGUGGGAAGAUACACUGCCAAUAGCUACUCGCCACAUCGAAAGAAAAACAUUAGCCUUCUUCAAGCAGCUGCAGUGAGUUCACACAAGACUUUCACUUUCUUUUACUGCUGUUGGGGUCAUUGAUAUCUUAUCUUUAAUAAAUGUGCAACGACAAAAUUAAAAAAAUAAAAAAAGUGAUCAAUGUGGAAAAUGGCAAAAAUAAUAAAGAAGACGAAAGUAAUACAUGUCGUUUGCUCUUGAUCUCAUUAAAGUCGUUCACUCCAACGACAAUUUGGUUUGGACUGGAGAACAUGUAAUUUGAAUAUUUGGUCGUACAAUAAUAUCAUGAUACUCUUCUUGCAGUGCAUUUGUAUGUCAGAGGAACCAGAACUAGAUUUUGGUUUGGUACGGGCCUGGGCAUAAUUUUAAAUUUACAAACUUCUAACAGAGUCAUUCUACAAAACGGUAAAACGGUAAAUCUUUUAUGAUGCGUUUACUUUUAAAAUUAUAAAAUUAAAAUAAUUUAUAUUUACUUAUUAAAAUAAAAAAGAAAUUGGAUUCAUUUACGCAGGCCCCACACCAGAUUGGGAAACAACAAUGGGAGUCUGAUUCUAAGGAGGGUUGUGAAUCAGACUCUCAUUUUCAAAACUAUUCAUUUUAUCCCUUUUAAAUUUUUAUAACUCUUAAAUUACUCUUAAUUAUAUUUUUUAUAUUUACAUUUUGGUCCCCAUAAAUUUUAUGAAAAUACCUAAAAGCUUUUAUUUUGUAUUAUUUGUAAAUAAGUCCUCCAUUAUUUAUUUAUUAUAUUGUCAUCAUUAUUAUAUUAAUAUUGUUAUUAUUAAAAUUUAUUAUUUAAUUAUUUUUUUGUCAUUAUUUUUAGUUUUAUUUAUUAUAAUAGAUACAAAUAAUACUAAGUACAACACUUAAUAAUGGACAUUUUAGUAACUUGUAACAAUUUAUUUUAAUGUCAAGAUAAAGUAAGCACAUUAAUAAAAUUACGGCUCAUUCUAAUUUCGAUUCAUAUAACUUGAGUAAACAAUUUAUUCUGAUUCCUAUUCUUUAUCCUGAUUCCAGCCUAUUCUAAUUACCGAUUAGUAAACACAGUAUAAGAAGACUCAAAUAAUUAGUUUUACCAAAUAAUGCACUCAAUUUUAGUUACCUCACAAUAUUUUCUGCAUUUUUUAGGCCUCAACAUAGUUUAUAGUUCCGUUCCUGUUUAGGAUGAUAAUGAUUAUUUAAAUAUUUGUUAGUUCCUUUUAUUGAGGAUGACAAUGAUUAUUUAAAUAUAUAUUUAUUUAUUCUCCUGUAGGGAUGGAAAAUGCCAGUUGCCACAUGUGUUUCAUGUCUCAAUUAAUAAAACAGUUUAUGCUUUUAGAAUUUUACAAUUUAGGUGGGACUAAUGCUUUCCUUACUUGAACAUUAAUUGAGUCUUAAAAAAUAAACUAAUAUGUUUAAUCUUAUAUUUAUUAUUUUACUGAACUCAAGUAUCUCUUAAUAUUCAAAAAAAAAAAAAACUCAAAUAUUUCUUAGUAAUAUAUAUAGUGUGGAUGCUUAUUGUUCAACCGACAAAACUCUUUUAGAUGGUAAAUUACAUUUGAACUUUGAAUUAGUUUCGGAGAUAGCAAAUGAAUUGGAUUUUCAUCAUAUGCAAUAUUUAUUUGAAGCAAAGACGAAGGAGUGGUGGGACAGAGGAGGGGAGGAAAACUGAAGCCCAACGAUAGUCCAUAUAAGGAAAACACGAACUAAGAACUUUCAUAUUACUUCUGAACAGAUAUGUCCCUUUGGGAUGUUUGAUCUUUAAUAUCAAUAAAUUCAUAAAUUGGGAAAAAAAAAGGGUAACUUAUGUCUUUGGAUCCAUGUUAAUUUAUAUAAUGAAAAUUAUCAACCAUGUUUGUGGGGGAAUUGUUACCCUUUCAUGAAGGGAUAUCACUGAUAAUUAUUAGAUUACUUUAGCUUAUCUUUUUCUUUGAUUUUUUUUUUUGGCUCUUUCUUUUUUAGGGUAUUUUAGCAGACUUUUUUUUUGAACUUAUGAAUUUUAAAGAAUAAGGCGCAUUACGUUUCCCUAGGUGCUAAAAUUCUCUCCCCCCCCCCCCCCCUCUCUCUCUCUCUCUAUAUAUAUAUAUAUAUAGAGAGAGAGAGAGAGAGAGAGAGAGGAGACAGUGAUCCAAUCUACAAGUCCCAGAUUGUAUCACUAUCCGUGAAUUCAAUGGCCCUGGGUGGCUUCUUUUUUCUUUUUUCUUUUUGUUGGCUGCACAUGGCAGCUUUUUGGAUUUAAAUCCAAAGUUCAUUAGCCUUUCUCCCAAUCUCGUAUUGGAACAUUUUCUUCUAUAUAUAUAUAUAUAUAUAUUCCUUCUCUAGGGGGUGUCCUCUUUUUUUCUUUUUCUUUUUUUAUGCAGACAUCUUUAUAUAUCAUGGGGUUUAAAUCACACAGUUUUAUAGUUCUUUCAAAUAUAACUAAAUCGUAUACUUAAGAAUAUCUCUACAUUUAAAAAAAUUGAGAGCGCUCGCUCUCUGUUGCAAAAGAAAAGUAAUUAAGGAACUAAAGCCUAGUAAAAGGCUGACAAAACACAUCCAAAACGAUGUUGCCAGUGCUAUGGACUUUUGCUUGAGUAGAUCCAAAAUGAUGAAUGGGAUUGUGGCACUACACUCACCGCCAAUGCGAAAGGAUGCCACCGAAAAGAAUGGAAUGCUACUUCGCUAUUCUAGAUGCGUCGUUUUGGGUGUGUUUAAAAAAAUAAGAUUUAAACUCACCCAAAACGACAUUGUUUUAGGUGUUUUUUUUAUCAGCCGUUUCACAUAUUAGUGCUCAAUGCAAAAAUGUAUUCUAAUCCUUCUCUACAAAACAGUAAGUCAAAAACACGAACCAGCGAAUAAAUACAAUAUUAUUUGCAAUGAAAUUUUGGAAUAUGUACCACUACUUAAGAAAUAAAAGUUGGACGCUACUACUAUGGCGAAAAAUUAUGGUAUUAUGCUAGAUUGUUGGUUGAAGUUGAUCUCCCGAGAACUACGCCUGAAAAAAUAAAAAUGUAACGUUAUAUUUUGAUGAAAAUAGUAAAUGUUGACGCAGAUGUGUGUACGAGCAUAUAUUGCACAAACUAGCUAUAUCUAGGGCAUAAUUUUAUUUGUUACCUUUUAAUUUGUUGAUGGCUAGCUAGAAAUAUUAGGAUGAUUGCACAGAUGAAUUGCCGGGCAAAUCUCCUUUGGCAGUGAGCUAGGUUGCUUCUCCCUGCAGCCAACUGCCAAUAGAGAAUUGCCCAGUAAUGCAUCUAAACACUUGAUUCAUUUGAUGCACUCAAACUCAAAUUUUUCUCUCUCGAUGAAGAGUGUUAAAUCUCCAGACGUAUAUAUAGGCGAAGAGAAAACUCCGGUAUUUUUCAUGCAAACAGGAUAUCCGAAGCACAUACUCUCUACGUAUUUCAGCAUUUGGUAAGUAGCUUAGAAAAAAAGGCUAAAGCUAAAGUGGUCCAUAAUUUAGCUUUGAUUCGCAUAGCGUCAGCUUCAGCCUCAGCUACUUGAUCCACGUACUAGGUUGAUUAAGGGUUCCCAGCAUUCCCUUCUUACAGAAAAAAUAUAACGGCAUCAUCGUUCUAUCCCAGGAAUUAUUCUCUGCAACACGUCCUUAUCUGGGGUUGAAAGAAUUUCUGCACUCAAACCUUGUAGGUAUUAUAGUUGCUUCAUUAUUAAAUGCAAAAAUUGUACAUUAAAUACGCCUCAUAUAUGAGUUAAAAUUUACCUUAAGUACUAUUGUUGGGUCAUUACUUGUAAACUUAAGUUUUUGGGUUAAACUAGUUUCACUAACAUGGUAUCAGAGACAAGUUCUCAAGUUUUGAUCACCUUAUAACAUACAAACUAUUUCGAUUGUAUCUUCAAUGUUCUUAGUUCACUUUUAGACUCUUUUCUUUUAGUUCAUUUAUGAAUUUUUGUCUUAAGUCUUAAUUCAUAUUUUAGGUGAACAAAAGUAUUAAGACUUGUUUUAAAUUUCACUUUUAGGCUCGUCUUUUGGUCCAUUUAUGAAUUUUGUCUUAAAUCUUAAUUCAUAUUUUAGGUGAACAGAACUAUUAAGACUUGUUUUAAAUAUUAUUAUUAAACUCUCACCUAUGAAUUUAAGUUUUUUUUUUAAUCAAACAAUUUCUCUAACAAUAAGGCGCGUAACAUAUUCGAAAGAAUCAUAUGUGAUUGAUUACUUGUCAGCUGGGCGUAAAAAAGUCUCCUUUGCAAUCCCUAUUUCGAAUUUCAAUAAUCAGAUCAAUUACUCUAUUAGGGGGAACAAAAUGAAAACGAAAAUUUCCAAACAGCGAGAGACAAUAUUUAAAAUAUGUAUGCCGCCAUUCGCGGACAAGGGUGCUUAAUUUUAAUGGCCUUAAAAGAUAUAUAAGUAAGAGUGGGUUGACUUGGGUGUUUAUAAAAAAUGCAACAGGGGAAUGGACAGGAUACAAUAUUCGACUUCUUUGUAGGCAUAAUAAACUUGAUAGUCGAUAAAAUGUUCAUAUAUUUUCGCUGCAUAAAUGAAGAUGUUAACUGAUCAGAAUUCUGUGAUUGAGUAAAGGACUGCUGAUGAUGAGGUUUUGGGUUGGGACCAUGAACCCUUAAGAAAAAGAACAUGGGAGUUAUCUACAGGAAUUGUACUGGCAUAUCCUAUCACUUUGUUCAUGGCAUAUCCAAGUGCAGGUGCGAAUAUUGUGGUAUAAAAAGGCUUAACUGUGAAUGCUGUGAGGACUCAGGUGGCUUGGCUGGUAGAUCGAAGAAUUUGUUCCAUCAAUACAAAGUGACAAUGUGGUUGAGGAAUAACAGUGCAGUCCUCCUUUGGCGUGCAGAUUGCAAAGAGAUAAUGCAUAUUAUUUCAUUCAUUUGCAUCCUUCUGUUUGCCAAAGGAGAAUUGCCCUGCCAUUCACUCUCGCAGUUAGCUGUAAUUGUUGCAAGAUUCCAGCAGCCUCAUUCAAUUUGUUUGCCAAAUUAAUGUAACAAACGAUUUCGUCAUUUACCAUUCUGAAUUCAAUAUGCAUUUUGAAUGUCUCAAAAUUCUCUUGCUAUAUACACACGCACACGCGCGCGCAUGAUAACAGCUUAUUUGCGCUCAACUCAGGGGCCGGGCACCCGGGUCCCAGGAAAGAUAUCUAGAUAAGCUAAUUUCUAUCAAUAGUUCACGUUGCGUUGUUGCCCCUUUUAGUUUUUAUUUUUAAUGUCAUGGCUUCUCAGGUCUUUUAAUUUGUUUCUCCAUUAUGGCCCUUUACUCCAAAAUGGUGGCUUGGUUCCGCCAAACAAGAGUGUCAAUCGAAAAUGCCAUCGUGGAAGCUGCUAGUUCAACACGAUUGCCAAAUCAGAGACAUGUAUAUUGUACGUGUUGGCAAAUGAUAAUGAUUGGCUAUAUACAGUUAUAUUUUCCAAUUUAAAUAUUGCAUCCGUUUCUCAGUUUUUUACAAUCUCAGUCUUUGUUUUUCCGAUUAUAAUUGAAUUAAUUAGAAGCCGAAUUAAUUUGAAACUUGUUUUCAGAUUUCAUGCAUUCAUCUUGUCUGGUUCUAAAAGGUUGGAAUGCACUAGAGUAACAGCUUCGUCAAGUGUAUUUGUCAUGCACCGCUUGGAAAAAAAAAAAAAAAAAAAA